UUUUUUUUUUUUAAAUAUAUUUCUGCCAAUAAUUCCUUAAUCACAAUACAUCUCUGCCCAGAUGGUGGGGAGUAUUUCGUGUGUGGAUCCAAAUCAUAGGAGUUCAUGCACUUAAAGGACUCGAGUGUGGACCCAUUUACAAACUUACGUACUGUAAGCAACUUAAAUUAAGAUAAACAUACUUUUAAUGUUCAUAUCAAUAUCUCUUUGUAUUUUUAUUAAUUCUUAUUUCAUAUGUCUACACUACAAAUAGCCUCUAAUAUACUGAUUUCAAGCAUCAAAUUCAUUGUUAGGUAUUUCGAGUGCAAGCGGUUGGCAUAUUAAAGUAUCGAUUUUGGAUUUUCACUCCUCUUGAUUAUUAGGUACAUCUUCUUUCUAUAUAUAUAUAUAUAUAUAUAUAUAUAUAUAUGUAUAUAUAUAUAUAUAUUUUAAAAAGGCAUGUUGAUUUUCAAUUGUAAGAGAUUAGUAACAUAUCUUGAAUUUUGUUUUGUUUUUUGUUUUAUUUUCUAUUUGUUUUGUAUGAAGACAUAGGAUUUAAACAAGUACUUUCAUUGUUAUUUUUGUAGGAUUUUUUCUAGCAUGUUUGUUAAUUGAUUUUUGUGAUCAUAUACUACGAUGUUUGUUAAUUUGCCUUCAGGAAAAACAAUAAAAAACAAAAGGCACUGGAAAGUAAUGCGAUAUUAGAUAUAUCUGUAAAUUCAUUAGUUAAUUAAAACACUCUGGCCGUUUACUUAAUUAUAAUCUUUACGUAUUGUUAUACACAAACUUGAAUGCGAUAAAUCAUUUAUUUUUUUAUACUUAGUUAUCUUACUUCGCUAUCAUGCAGUGAUAAUAGAAAAUCAAUAAAUGCUGAUUUGCAUGGACAAAUCGAGUAGAAUGUUCAAACAAAAAAAAACAAAAAAAAGUUUCUGAAUAGUAGAAUAUUGUUUGAUACUAUUUACUGCACUUUUUAUUUAUUUUCAAGUUUUUGAAUAUUAUAGUAUUGUUGAAUAUUAUUUUUUCUAUUUUUGAAUUAUUAUUCACUGAAUUAGAUGUUCAAAUUUAUAUUAUAAGAAUACUUUACAUUACAAUGCGCACAUAGUAAUAUACUUAAGACAAAUUAUAAUAAAUUAUACAUUAAAUAUGUAUUUUAUAUUGACAUUUUUAUAAAUUGACUAAAGUUUAUUAUUUUUUGACGAUUUCCAUUCAACGAACGGGUACAAAACUAGUUUAUUGAUAAAGGAAAAUAGAUUGCUAGAUGUUUUUCUACUUAAUUAAAUAUGAAUAUAUAAUUCUAAAUUUAUGAUCAUUAUAAAAUUUUAAAUUAUAUAAAAGAAUAUUUAUAAAAAAAAGAAUAUCUACCAAGUUUUUAAAUGGGGUACAUUAUUUGAUGUAUACUAUCAUAUUAUAGUAAAAGUAUGUAAAUAAAUUUUUAAAAAUUAGUAAAUAAUUGAACUUUUAAUAUACAUUAAAUUUUUAAAAUUAAUAUGAAUGAACAUGUAGAACUAUUGUAAUUUUUAUAUUUAAAUUAUUGGUUUUUGUAUAAAUUCACAACAAAAAAAUGUUUUUAAAAUUAGUAAAUAAUUGAGCAUUUAAAAUUUUAGUAUUUAAGUAGUUUACCAUAUCCUAUAUGAGGUAAUUCUAAAAGUUUUAUCUACCCACUAUGUCGAAUAGUUUAAAACAGAAAAAUAAAAUUUUAUCAAACUAAAAUGAAUACACACAUCAUACAAAAUUGACACAUUACAUUGAGGUUUUUAUUUGUAAAUGACAGUUCUUAAACUUGCAUUGGAAAAAUCCAACAUUUAAUGAAAGAUUAAAUCAAUAUUCUUAUAUCGGGUUAGAGUUAUAUAUUACUAGGUCAUAAAAUUAAGAAACAUGUUAUUAUCGGACUAGUAAAUUGGAACCUAAGAACUAAGAAGACAUACACACAAAGAUAUAUAUCUAUACUAGUAAGGCCUGGCUGUGGCACAACCAGUGCCCACCUUGAAAUGCUUGAUGGAACGUUUGUGUAAUGCAGAGAAAUUGAAGGCAAAAGAGAGUAAAUUGAAGUAUUAACAUGAAGGAUCGACAAAUACAAGAUAACAGGUUUAAAACGUUGAAGUACAUUAAUGCAAAUGAUAAAGAGAUACAAGAUAAUUACAUUAAAACAGAAGUAGUUCAGUGUUGAAGAACAGAAGCAUUAUAUUGUUGGAAAUUAAUGCUAUGGAUGAUCAUUGUGAAGGUUUAUUGAAGUUUGCUGGUCAGCUGCGAGCUAUUCAACUUCGUAGCUUGUGACAAUGGUGAAUGCCGUUCCUUUGAUUGUUUUUUCUCUUGGAGCCGCUUUUUAACAAAACAGAGGAGUUUUUUUUCCUUGGAUUGCUUGUGUUAUAUGAUGAAGUAAAUUCAUAUUCUACUACAAUUAGAUAGGAACACAUUAAGAAGCAAAACAAAUUUAAUAUGUCCGUAGUUUGUAGUUGCUUUUCUUCGAUACCUGAUUGUUUAGUUCGCUUAGUUCAGCAGUUGGAAUGGACAUCAAUGUUUCAGCUUGUUCUCCCAAGGCAAUUGUAUCUAUUUAUCCUGUGGCAUCAACUAUGGCAAGUGCAAUGCAAGCUCUAUAUAUGCAAUUAGAUGUAUUAGCCAUUUAGUUAAUUUUUCAUUAAUGAUGAGGGAAAAAUUUUUAGAUGCAUUAAAAUAUAGUUUACUUGCCUAGGAGAGGGGUUGAUUUUCAUUCUGCAAUAUUGGCAAUUAAUGUCCAAGGUUCCUAUGAAGUCAGUGGGUUGAUCACAGUUAGGGCAUGCAAAAUAUCAGAAAGGAGCUUUUUGAUAGUUAAUUUGAGCUCGACCUUGAAUACCCUCUGGUCAACAUCAGGCAGAGUACGCAGAAUUAUCUUAUAGCUGGAUAAAUUAGGAACAUUGCUUAAGCUCCUAAAAAAUUUUGCAUAUGGAUUGUUUUCAAGAACAGUCAUAAUUUUUUUAAUUACAUUUUCUGAUAGUCUUGGACAGACAGCUUUACGGUUAGAAAGCUCAUUUUCAACAUCAUGAAAAUACAAUUGCAUGUUACUGCCUGGAUUGCUAGCAGGUGUCAAGUUGUUUAGAAAAUGAUACACUUGUCCUUGUACUUUAAAUGUAUACACUCCUUUGUUUCGUUUAGAAAGAUUCUUUUCACAUUUAACGCCAAAAGAUGUGAAUCCAAGGUGAUUAUUGUAAGUUCUAAUCAACUGCCUAAAUGUUUUUGCUUCGUCAGAUGACAAAGUUUAGAGUUCUCUCAAAACAUCUGGAAGCUUAUUCUGCGCGAGGACUAUAUCGCCGUUAGCACAGCAAAGGUUUGCUGUUUCUGAGUAAAACUUUUUAGCUCCACAAUGCGGACAGUCUUUUUGUUUUGGCAGAAUAUCAGGAGUGUCAACUAUAUAGUCUAACAACUGUCUUCCUUUCUUAGGAGUGCUUCCUAAAGUAAAACAAAAUAUAAUAACUAACUACAUUAGAAACUUUUAUAGUAAGAUAUUUUUUUAAUCAACAUAAAGUAAAAAAUAUUGACUAUAACCUGAACGUUUUCUUUUCUUUGGCAUAUGGUUUUGCUGUUGACAUGACGGUUGCAUUGCUUGAUCUUGCAAUGAUUGAUUUCACGUAUAAGAUCAUAAGAUCAUAAUUUUAGUAAAUAAAAUAUCAAGUAAAUGAUACAUUAAAGGUUUGAUGAGUCAUAAAAGGAAUUACCUUUAUUAUGGUUCAUAGGUGUAGCAAUGUUUUCAGAAUUUCUUGAUGGCUGGAUUAUACUGUCGCAUGUAGUUAUGCUUCUAGUACAAACAGCCUGAGUAGGCUGGACAGUUUCACUGCAACACUUUUUACAUUUCCAUCUAAUAUAAGCUUGUAGCCUAUUUUUAGCAAGCUCAACAUUUUCAUUGUUUACAGUUUGACAGGCAUUUUGCAGAUGCUCUCUAUCAAUAUUCGGUAGGGGAAUGUUGACUGGUUCAGUUGAAGAUUGUUUCUUCAUCUGAAAAUGAUAUAAACGCAGUCUUUUUGAUUUCCAUCUAAGGUAAGCCUACCUUCUGUAGUUUUUCUUUUCUCAAUGGUUACUUAAAUGCGGCAAGGAAUGUCUUGUAAAUUAGACAUCAGGGCAUAGCCGUGUGUAGUAGGCUCUUUGCCAUGCAGAACGAGAACAACAGUGAAUGAUGUAGGUAGUGAAGUUUUGAAAUUUUGGUCUUUGACUUGCAUGUUGUAAUUUCUUGAGAUUGAUUGGCAAAAAUUUUGCUUUCACAUCUUUUGUUAGCUGAGUCAACAAUUAUGCUAGCUUGUCUGAAUCCUUUUUUCUUUUCUUGUGAAUAUAAGAAUUUAACUAAUGACGAACAUACCUUCAAUUAUCUUAGUUAUGCAUUAAAGAGAUAAGCAAACAUCUUGGAGAUGAACAAAUAGCUUACACUACGCAGUUUGAAAAUUCAUUACCAGAGCUUCACAAUCAUAAGCAUAGAGUAUAUAUAAUUUAAUAAUAAGCAACUACAAAGGCUCAUGAAAAUUCGUAAAUGUGAAGCAUCAAGAAAGCCUAACAAGCAUUUUAUCAAACAUUAGGUAGGCUAGUUAGGAGUAAUAUGACUAACCGGGAAGUAAAGUAGCAGUGCAAGCCAAAAUCUUCAAUGAUGAAAGCAAUGCUGCAACGUAAAAAUGGAAAACAUGUAAAAGAAACUAUAUGUUACUACAAUAAGGUAUAAAUACGCAAUAUAUGAUGAAGGACAAACUAAGAAAAUUUGUAUUAUCAAGCGAUCAGAGAGUAAGAAAGUGAAGGAAGACUCGUUUCUGCUAUCUACGCAUGGAGGAGAAAUAAAGCAGAACAGCAGCUAUUGAUAAACAUAGUAGCAUGGACUGUGUCAUUCAAAGGUGCACUAUUCAAUCUCAACAAAUCCAGUACUUUGUUUUUGAAUCUAAUGGUUAUGAAAAGGUGAAAUACAACUGAUAACUUAUCAGAAGAUUGAUAUUUCUGUAAAGUACAACCUAACCCUUACAAAAAAGAGCAACUGUCUAAUCUGAUUAGGUGUAGAAUGGAGUGGUUGGAGAAAGCUUGUUUUUUUUUUUUACUUUGUUACAAGUAAACCAGAGUAAAAACUGGACAACCAACCAAUCUGUAAGUUGAUUUCUGGAAUACUCUUAACUGGAAUCGAUAACUUUCUGAAUUCCUUGAAUGGAAAUAAGUUGGAAGUAUAUUGAACUCUCAACUGGAAGUAUUCAACCUUUAACUGGCAUUGGCACUUUAAGAACCAAAGAUAUAAAUGAAUUAAAAUAGAAUUGAUAAUAAAAAAUAUAAUAUAUUAAGCGGAAGUUUUAGUUCAAUUGAAUAAUUUUAGAUGACAAUAAAAUAAAUAAAAUGUUGACCUUGGUCCCUAUCUUUUGAUGAUUACAAAACAAAUGGGUGUUGUUAACAUCUCCUCAAAGGUUUUUUCAGAAAUGAAACAAAUCAGAUUCAAAGAUUAAGCACAUUUGAAAAAGACAGAGUAUGCUGAACCUGUCGGACGCUCAAGAAGACAGUACCGAACGUCCGAUAAUCAUUGCACAACUUCGGACGCAUUCUUCGGACGUCCGAUAGGAUCUUUCGAAGUCAACAAAACUAUCGGACGCUGAAUAUGUCUCUACCGGACGUCCGAUAGAAACAAGAUAAUUUCUCAAAUCUCUUUGUUUGCUGUCGGACACACAAAAAGUUUGCACCGAACGUUCGAAAGAAUUGAAGAAAAUCUCUUAAACUCACUGUCUGCUUUUAGACGCAUAAAACAGGGCUAUCGGACGUCCGACACUCCAACGGCUAGUUGACUCUUCAGCUACUUUCUAUCCGUUGGAAGUAUUAUUGAGGCACUUUCUUGAUCCUAUAUAAAUAGUGGUUGGUCAGAUAUUUCAAACAACUUUGGCACACUGAAGAUACAAAAGAUCUAGAGAGAUUUUAAUGAGAAAAUACUCUUCAAAGAAGAUUUGUAGUCUUAGUGGUGUGAGGUUCUUUGUAAGCUUUUCAUUUGUGAGUGAAUACUUCAUGAGUGUAGCUCUUGUCCUGAGGGAUAGUAAAACGUCCUGACUUGACCGAGUGGAGUUCGGGGCAAGGAAGAGGUGAACCUUCCUUUGUACACAAGAGUGAUUGUAAUUCAUCAACUUGAAAUAACUUGUUUCAAUUAAUCUACAAUCUCAAGAGAAGUUGGGUAGUUAAUUGGUUUGCAAUCCUUUCCUUUUUAUUUACUUACUGUUACAUUUGUAAUAUUUGCAUUGUUUAUGUAUUUCACUUGGUUGUUUUCGAUCUUUACAAUUGGUAUCAGAGCUUGGUCUCCUAGAGAUUAAACUCAAUCGGUUUGGGAGUAAAAAUGACAACCAAUAAUGCUAUAUUUUUUGAAGGACAUUCUGUCAUUAGACCACCGAUGUUUAAUGGGUCAAAUUAUGUGAGUUGGAAAGAAAGAAUGAUUAUUUUUUUGCAAUCUAUUGAUAUUGAAUUGUGGUUUAUUAUUAGUGAAGGUCCAUAUGAUGCCUCUCUUAUAGAUGAAAAUACUCAUAGAUCUAGACCAAAAAUAAGAAGUGAACUGACUGCUAUAAAUAGAGCUCAUCUCACCUUAAAUGCAAAAGUCAUGAAUGUAUUAUAUUACGUUUUAGACUCAAAUGAAUAUAUUAGAGUCAAAGGCUGCAAGUCAGCCAAGAAAAUUUGGGAUAAAUUGAGAGAAAUUCAUGAAGGUAGUGAGAAUGUUAGAGAACAAAAGAAAUCCAUUCUAGUUACAAAGUAUGAAUCCUUCAAGAUGCAACAUCAUGAAAACAUUGAUGAGAUGUAUUGUAGAUUCAAUGACCUCAUUAAGAAUUUGGAGGUGCUGGAAAAAGAAUACUCUCUAGGUGAGAAAAAUAGAAAAAUCCUGAAUGUCUUGUCCAAUGAUUGGGAAAAUAAAAUGACUGCUAUUGAAGAGGCUAAAGAUUUGAAUACUAUGCCUAUUGAAUCUCUUAUUAAUUCUCUAACCUCUUAUGAGCUGAAACUUAAGUCCAAAGUGCAAGAGGAGGAGGAUGCGAAAGUAAGAAGGAGCAUUGCUCUAAAGGUAUCUCAAGAUGAAAAUGAUUCUACCUCCCUAAAUGAAAAAGAUGCAGAAGUUGAUGACAGUGAUCUUGCUCUCAUAACAAGAAGUUUCAAGAGGAUCCUUAACAAAAGGAGAUUCAGAAGAGGAGGAUCUAGCAAUUCAUAUUCUAAUCAAUUCAAUAAUGCAAGAAACAAAGAAAAGUAUGAGGCCAACAAAAAGCAAGAUGACAAAUGCUAUGAAUGUGGUCAGUUUGGACACUACAUGGGUGAGUGUCCAAUGAAGAAGAGAAAAGGUGAAAGAAAAUCAAGAUUCAACAACUUCUAGUUCACAUGGAAUGGGUGCAACUCGACGGUGAUAUUGAAGAGGAAGAAAAAUCUGUUCAAUUGGUUUUCAUGGCCAUUGGAGAUGAUGCGGUAACUUCUUCUAACUCUCAAUUUGAAAGUGAUGAUAAAAUUGAUGAUGAUCUUGAAUCUUUCAUUAUAAAACUGCAUGUUGAAAGAAUCUUAUGCUAGAAACAAGGAAUUAAAACAUAAAAUUAGCUUUCUUCUUCAGGACAAUGCACGUGUUUUUCAAAAAAAUAAAAGGUUGAAAACUGAAAGUGAUUUCUUAAAAAGGAGUGAGACUGUUUUACACUUUGAACUUGAUAGAAAAAUAAGUUUUUGUGAAAUGUUAAAAAAGGAACAAGAUGAUUUGAAAAGAAGGAUGGAUAAUUUAAAUGAGUUGCUCCAACAUAAAAAACAAAACUGUUUUCAAAGUAAUAAAUCAAAAUCUCAUUUUAAGAUAAAUUCUGCUGCAAAUGAAUUUGCUAUUUAUAAGAGAAGACAAGUAAGAUUUAUUAAACCUGUUCAUGUACAGAACUCUUUGGUUAUAUGUAAUUUUUGUUGUCAAAAAGGUCACAUGAAAAAUGAUUGUUAUGUGAGAAAUAAUUUGAGAAGAGGUAUGAAAUGCAUGUGGAUAGUUAGACAUGAUACUAACAAGUAGGAGAUAUUGUUAAGUUUGAUGAGAUUCUUGUUCAUAAUGCUCUUUUAUAAUUAUCUUUUGAUGUUUCUGAUGUUUUGAACUGAGUUUUUCCUCGAUAUUUUUAAAUUUUACUGAAUUUGUAUGAUAUCAAAAAAGAGGAAGAAAAAAUAAUAAUUUUGAACUUAUGAUGAUUUGCUAAACUUUCUGUCAUAUGUUGAUACCUCUUUUGAUAUCAAAUUCUCUGUGAUAUGUUGGUGAUUGCUGUCAUUUUUUUGUUCUUAUACUCUGUUAUUGUUGCUGGAUUAUGAUAAUUGAUUUUUUACUCUCAUCUUAUGAUGACAAAAGGGGAGAGAAAUGUAUGCUAUGUGUAAGGGGGAGUUAUUCUGAAUUCAUAAGUUUAGAUGCAUUGUGUGAGGGGGAGCUUAUGCUUAUAUGCUCAAUUUUUUUUUCCAUCCAUUGUUUUGUCAUCAUCAAAAAGGGGGAGAAUGUUGACCUUGGUCCCUAUCUUUUGAUGAUUACAAAACAAAUGGGUGUUGCUAACAUCUCCUCAAAGGCUUUUUCAGAAAUGAAACAAAUCAGAUUCAAAGAUUAAGCACAUUUGAAAAAGACAGAGUAUACUGAACCUGUCAGAUGCUCAAGAAGACAGUACCAGACGUCCGAUAAUCAUUGCACAAUUUCGGACGCAUCCUUCGGAUGUCCGAUAGGAUCCUUCGAAGUCAACAAAACUAUUGGACGCUGAAUAUGUCUUUACCGGACGUCCGAUAGAAACAAGAUAAUUUCUCAAAUCUCUUUGUUUGCUGUCGGACGCACAAAAAGCUUGCACUGGACGUCCGAAAGAAUUGAAAAAAAUAUCUUAAACUCACUGCCUGCUGUCGGACGCAUAAAACAGGGCUAUCGGACGUCCGACACUCCAGCGGCUAGUUGACUCUUCAACUACUUUCUAUCCGUUAGAAGCAUUAUUGAGACAUUUUCUUGAUCCUAUAUAAAUAGUGGUUUGUCAGAUAUUUCAAACAAAUUUUUUUUCACACUGAAGAUACAAAAGAUCUAGAGAGAUUUUAAUGAGAAAAUACUCUUCAAAGAAGAUUUAUAGUCUUAGUGGUGUAAGGUUCUUUUUAAGCUUUUCAUUUGUGAGUGAAUACUUUAUGAGUGUAAUUCUGUGAGGGUUGUCCUGAGGGAUAGUAAAAUGUUCUGACUUGACUGAGUGGAGUUCGGAGCAAGGAGGAGGUGAACUUUCCUUUGUACACAAGAGUAAUUGUAAUUCAUCAACUUGAAGUAGCUUGUUUCAAUUAAUCUACAAGCUCAAGAGGAGUUGGGUAGUUAAUUGGUUUGCAAUCCUUUCCUUUUUAUUUACUUACUGUUACAUUUGUAAUCUUUGCAUUGUUUAUGUAUUUCACUUGGUUGUCUUCGAUUCUUACAUAAAAAUACAAAAAAAUGUAGAUUAUAUUGCCAGAUUCCAUACUUUGUUUAUAAUAGAAAGACAAAUGUACAUUUACAUUACACUAAACAAAACUAAUAAUCUUAUUCUUUAUAAUAGGAUAGGAUAAACUUUAAAUAUUCUUUGUUUUUCAUUAAUUUUAAACGAUAACUUAUUUUGACAAAUAUAAUCUAUAUUUGUCAAAUAUAAGUUUAAAUGUCAAUGUAAAUAGUAGUAACUAUAAAUUGUAAUUGAAUUAUACCUAUUGAAAAUGUAGAGAUUGAAAAGCUUAUUUAUGAUAGGAUACAAUGAAUUUUAAAAAAUCUUUUGCUUCACAUUAACUUUAAAUGAUAAUUUAUUUGUUAUAAAUUUAAAAUAACUCAUUUUGACAAAUGUAAUCUAUAUUUGUCAGAUAUAAGGUUAAAUGUCAAUGUAAAUAGUAGUAACUAUAAAUUGUAAUUGAAUUAUACUUGUUGAAAAUGUAGAGAUUGAAAAGCUUAUUUAUGAUAGGAUACAAUAAAUUUUAAAAAUCUUUUGCUUCACAUUAACUUUAAAUGAUAAUUUACUUUAACAAAUAUAAUUUAAUUGAUUUAAAUGAUAAGGUUGGAAACUGGAAUAGAAAUAAUUAAAUCUUAUGUUAAUCUAUCUUCAAAUGUUAAUGUACAGCUGAUAUAAUUAUAUAAAUUGGAUAAUUGAAUUAUAUUAUAUCCGUUUAGAAUGUUCAGGUUAAAAAAUCAGCUAAAAAUGUAGAGGUUGAAAAGUUUGCUAAAAAGAAUGCAACUUUAUAAAGAAAUGUUAACAGCAAUCUAAUUUAAGUCAUUGAGCACAUCUAAAGGAAUGUUAUUAAUUUCAUAAGACAAUGUCAAGACUAUAGACAAAGCUGAAGAAAAAGCUCCAAAUUCAUCCAUUGUGCCAUGUGUCAGCACAAGAAGCUGCUACAGUAACAUUAGGCAUUUGCUUAUCUUAUAGUAAGGCAUAUGUAGACACACGUACAUACAUACGUAUUCAUACAUAUAUACACACACACAUAUGAGGUGUUGGGUAUUGGAUAUUGAGUUUUUAAGGAUCUCUUAUCAAACCCUAUUAGGUUACUUGUUGGUAACUCUUUGUCAAUAUCAAAGCGUGACGAACAUGUAAGACUUACCUCCUUUAGAGGCAAAUUAUGACCUACAUGAUUGAUUGAUAUUCUAAUUAAUUGAUUGACAAUUAAUUGGUAUCUCCCAUUAGGCAAUGAUUGGUGAUUGGUAUCCUGAUUAAUUGAUUGAUAUUUUGUUAAUAAUUAAUUAGUAUAUUCCAUUUGUUAGUGAUUGAUUGAUAUCUAUUGUUAAUUGAUAUCUUAUUCAAUCAGUUAAUCAAUCAAUUGGUCAGAAAAUAUGAAUUUCAGUUAUGAAUUUUGGCAAGAUUUCCUUGAUGGAAGGAAACCCUAGGGAUUUUUGUAUUUGCCAGUAAGGGUCCCUAGCCUAUCCUAUAAAUAGCCUGUAGUAUUCCAUCAAUUGUACACUUUUGGGUUAGGUAUAGGCUAGAAGAUCCUUACUCUAAAUUCUCUUUCUACUUUUCCUUCUUCUACAUAUUUUAUAUUGUUAGAAUAGACAAGGAGAAGUCAAAGAUACAAGAAGAGAUCAACUUGUGCUUGACAAUAAUGGUUAGAGGUAAGUAUAUUUAAAUUUCCACUGCAUAGUACAUUCACAUGUACAUAGUUAGUUUAACAUGUGGUAUCAGAGCCAACCUCUAACCAUGUUGUUUAGCUUAUAAUUUCAUGGUUUAUUGGCAAUCUGAUAAAUGUUUUAGAGAUUCGUAUCAAGUUUAAAUGAAUCAAAUUUAAUUUGCCAUGGGAUCUAUGGUUUAUUUUCUCAAUAAUUGAGAUUUAUUGACUAAUCCUAUGUAUAUGUAUCAUUCAUAUGAUACCUUAUUUGGUUAUGCAAUUCAUCCAGAUUUUCUCUAAUAAUCUGGUAUGAUUGCAAGUAAUUUGAAUGUUUCUUGGACUUACAUAUUUGUGAUUGUAAGAGUUAUAUGUAUUGAUUGUUAUUAUCAAUACAAUAUAACAAUUCGAGAAACAUAUAAAGAGUUGUUAUAUUCAACAAUCAAAAGAUUGAUAUCAUAUUAAUCUAUGCAAGAUAAUUGGUUGACUUUAUAUGAAUGGAUCUAGUGGUUUAUUGAAUCUUUGCUACCUUAUUAUGAGAUAAAUAUCUGAAGGUAUGAUUUCAAUAUGAGUUUGCCUCCAUGUUUCUAUUGUUAUUUGGAAUUAUGUAGUAUUUUGUGCACUACACUUAUGUUCAUUUAUCUCAUAUUAUAAGGUCAACAUUAGUAUGAUUGAUUACAUUUAAAUUUCAGAAAAUUUCCUUUAUAAAGUGUGUUUUGCAUCUCAAUUAUUUGAUGCAUGUACUAUUUUAAUCACAUAAAGGCUGGUGGUUAAAAAUGAAUAUAAGAAAAAAAAAGGAAAUUAUGAAAUUCUUUUGUCAAAAUACAGACUUUUGACUAUUUUGAUAUCCUUAAAAAGUCUAGUACACUUUAUGUUUGAGAGUAGCCAUAUCAUCUCAAACAUUGAUAUACUAUAAUUUUGAUCACAUAUGGUUUAGUGAUCAAAAUCAAUGAUUUUUUGGUCAAUAAAUUAACUACUGAUUUUCUAUGAAUUUUCAUUAAAAGUUUUCUUACAUCAUAUAUUUGGGAGUAGCCACAACAUUUCAAAUAUAUGGUGUAAAUAACUUUAAUCAUAUAAGAUUGAGUGAUUAUAAAAGGAAAGGAAAAUUCAAUGAAAUUCAGUCAAUAUAAAGUUUUUUGACUAUUGAUAAAAUACAAGAUGCCAUGUUAAGAAUUUCACUUUUACAUUACUAUUUGGGAAUAGCCAAAACAUCUCAAAUAUUUGAUGAGAAAAUUUUUUCAUCACAUAUAGUUUGGUGAUUGAAAUUAUGAAUUUUUAGUCAACAUAUUAACUAGUUGACAAUUUUUCUUAUAAUGCCGUAUACUUAGGAGUAGCUACAGCAUCUUAAGUAUAUUGGUGCUUGGAGAAAUUUUGCAUUUUUUUUUCACAUAUUGUUGAGUGAUUAAAGAAAUUUAAAAAAAAAAUUGGCAUCUAUAUCAAGUUGCAAUUAAUUCAUUGAGAUAGUUAUCCGGCCCCACAGGGAGGUAAUUAUUUUGAUGAGAUUAAUUGACAUAAGAUGGUAAAUUAGAUAGUCAAUUAAGAGAUAUUUCUAUGCCCACAGGUACGAAUUAUUUCUUUAAUUCAUUGUUCUAGAUUACUAAUCUUAUGAUUAAGUAAAGUAAAUUCUAUGCAUAUUUGCAACCUUUGUCCACAGAAAGGUUCGAAUUUACUAUUUGAAUUGACAUAAGGUUGAUUCAAAAUCAAGGUACAAAUUUUAUAGUUUUUUUUUGAUAUAGUUAUUGAUUGUUAAUUCAGUGUUUCAUUCUAAUGAUUUUAUGGUUCUUAUUAGCUUGAUUUUUAAAUUCAUUCUCUUUUGUUUUGGUGCAAGUUUUAAAUUAGCACUUCCAUGAAAAUGAACAAACCAUUCUCAUAAUGUGGAUAUAUUUGCUAAUAUAGAGGUUGAGUAUGAGAAUUAGAAGCAAUUUAAUAAUUUGCUCAUUUUGUCUCAUAUUCAUAUAAAAUAGGGUUCAAACCCUAAUUAUUUAAAGUUAAAUCUUGCAUGAAAGCCAUAAAAGAAAUUGUUGCAAGUUUUAACUAGCACCAUUAAAAGGCUUUCUUUUGUGACACUUAAAUAUUGAAGUGUAUUUUAGCUCAUUUCUUAGAGUUGAGAAUUUUGCUAUAUCAUUAAUUAAAGUCCCCUCAAAUUGAGAUUGAGUUAUUUCUAUCGCAUUUCAACCUUGAUUCUUUCAUGCAGAAUUUCUUAACCAUUUAAACCUUUAUAAUACACAUAAAGCUAUAUGGUUAAUUACUUGUUUUAACCAUGUGUAUUAAGAAAGGAUAAAGAUGUUAAGAAAUAAGAGAAACUUAACCUUCAUGAAAGAAGAAAUGGAAAGAAAGGUAUUUUUGUUCUCAUUAAAUCAAACAGCGAUAAAGACCAACGUUGUUUGUAAGAGAAUGAUAUUUGAUACUCUACUUUGAGAGAAAGUAACUCAAAAGAAAAUCUCAAUUGUUGAGUGUUAUAAAUUGUGAUAUAUUUGGUGAAUUGACUAAAACUGUCAAUUUACGCUGCCAGUAUAAUAAAUUUUUGAUUAUAUGAAAAGUGAAUAAAAGUUUCUUUGUAGAAACUAAAAAAAAAAUGUUCACAUAAAGAUAAGUGAUGUGUUAUUACUCAUUUAAGAAAAUUUGUUUUUUCAAAAAUAUUAUUUUCUUGUUACUUUAGAAUUUCUAUUUUCAAAUUAAUUACUAUUGGGUAUGAUUAUGAAUCUCAUUAUCCAGUAGUAGAUUUUGAAAAUAGUAAAGUUAUUAAUUCUAAAGUUUCUAGUACUAUCCUUUGAAUUGAGCAAUAAACUGCACUUGAUCAUAAUAAUUUUAUUGACAGCAAGUAUGUUUAUCACUGGAGAAGCUCCUUAAAUUUUGGCAUAAGAGAUUGAGAUACAUCUCUAUAAGGAAAUAAAAGAGUUGAUAAAUCAUAAAUCUUUAAAGAUUUUAGAUUUAUUGACUAUAAUAUUUCAGGUAGACUGCAUAAGUAAAGCAGACUAUUCAACCAUUAUGGAUGCCAUAAGAGUUUCUUUAUAACGCUAAAAUUUUGUGAAUUAUUUUCUAUCAUUUUUGAUUGGUGAGAGAUAUUUAUCUCACUAUUAGGUAACCAUUCAUCAAAUAUAAAGUUCCUUUCUUAUUUGAUAAAGGAUCAAUAUUUGAUACCUUUGUAAGUGUUCAAACAAGAAAGGAAAUUUGAAAUUUGAGAGAUAGAAAAUGAAGGCACACAAAAUUAGAGGACAAUCCUAUAUGUGCUCAUUUUACAAAUUCCUUAAUUAUGAAGCAUUGCUAAUGAGUAAAACAAUGCUUGAUUAGUUACAUCCAAAAUGAUGUAUCUUAAGGAAAUAAUGAGAUAGUUGUGGAUAUAGUAUUUUGACAAUCUUUAUAUCUUGUGAGUAAUGCCUUGAAAUUGAAGUAUAUACUUAAACAAUUUCCUCCAAUGUUGUUUAAACACCACUUUGAUUUUGGUAUGGAUGGAAAUUAAGUUUAAAAUAUUAUGUUCAGUUUUGUGAGGCUAAUCAACCUACACAUAAAUAAACUGUACAAAGGAAAUAAGGCUAUUUUACUUCAAGAAAUUUAGAUUCCUUUACACUUCAAGAAUUAUUAGAACUGGAGAUUUAAAUUUCUUAAGAACAUGAAGUAAGUGGGAGUGUUUUGACUCUCGAAUGGAGUUUUGAAAUGAUAAGGAUUCAUAUUGACUCCUUUGCAUAUGAAAAAUUGAUAGCUUUUCUCAAAAUAAUUAUUUAAUUAUUUUAGAUAAGCAAUCAAUUGAAAAACUCCUUGUCAAACAAACACAUAAAGAUAAAUCCACUUUUAACCUACUGGUUAAGUUAUCUUUGACGCAGUGGGAGGCAAAAUGUUUUCUAUAGAGAAUUGAAGUUCUCUGGUUACUAUGUUGUAUACCUACAAGAGUUUAAUGAUGAAUUGGGUAAUGUUUUCAUAAGGUGCAAAUGGAGAAAUCUCCAUAUUCAGGAAUAAUGUCACAAAUUACCACAAAAUCUCUACCAAGUUUGAGAGAUUUUAUUUAGGGUAAUUAUGACACUAAUAACUCACUAUUAGAGUUACAUUAAAUAUGAAAACAAAUAUCCUUAACGUGACUCUUGAUAAUUAGGUGUACACAUGUGUCACCAUAAUACAUUUGUAGAGAAUGCAAUUUCAAAUUUUUUCCCAAUGGUAUUCUUCAUUUGAUCUUAGAAGAAUUUUUUCUAGUAAAUUAAUAUACAUUAAGGUUAGUGGAAGUAAUACUAUGAGAGUUUUUCUCAAUCAUGAUAUUUGUGAAAUCUUUCUAUCAUUGAUAUUCACAAAAUAGAAUCUUAAGACGUUCAUGCAAGAAUUCUUUGAUUACUUUUAAGUAAUAAUAGUGAACAAUUGCAUAAUAUUCACAUCAUGCAUUGGAAUGAAUAUAAAUUCACCAAAGAUGCUAUGAAGUUAUACCACAGGCAUCUACUAUUUGGCAUAAAGUUUGUCGAUAUUGUAUUAUAGCCAUUAUAGUUAUUUGAUUUGACUAUUCCCUUUCAUUAUGUAUACAUGAAAGAGUGGGAGUCAAAAUAGGCAAGUCGACAUAAAGUAUACAAUAAUUAUUUGAAAAGCAAAAAGUAACUAUUGAGUAUACAGUAAAGAGUUAUUAUUAUUGAUCAAACAACUAAAGAUUGCCGGCUGAAUUGUCAAUGAUCAAAUAACUCACAUGGAACUCAAUAGUUCAUUUCGUAUUUUGCUUUUAUUCUCAAACUAUUGUUAUUGUCUAGACACUCGAGAUAUUUAUAUGAUUUUGUGCACAUUGUUGUUCAUGUAUAAAGUAAGGAUCAUGUGAUCCAUAAAGUUAGACAUUGAAUAACUUAUAUGAAGUUAUUCAUAAAGUUUUUAAAAAAGCACUUGAUUAGGAAGUAUAAUACAUUGUAAUACAUGGAAGGAAGUGUUUGCCAUGAGAGCAUAACCGUCAUGAUUCGUGUAUUAUUAUUUUCUAAUUAAGCAACUGUUACAUAACUGCUGAAUUUGGUGAGUGACAAACAAGAUUUAUGGCCAUUUUUUAACUAGUUAGUCACUCAUAAGUUAUCUGACUAUGGCAUGUGGGUCAAGUAGGAGAAUGCAAGACAUACCUCCUUUAGAGGCAAAUUAUGACCCAUUUGAUUGAUUGAUAUUCUAAUUAAUUGAUUGACAAUUAAUUGGUAUCUCCCAUUAGGCAAUGAUUGGUGAUUGGUAUCUUGAUUAAUUGAUUGACAUUUUGUCAAUAAUUAAUUAGUAUAUUCCAUUUGUUAGUGAUUGAUUGAUAUCUAUUGUUAAUUGAUAUUUUAUUCAAUCAGUUAAUCAAUCAACUGGUCAGAAAAUAUUAAUUUCAGUUAUGAAUUUUGGCAAGAUUUCCUUGAUAGAAGGAAACCCUAGGGAUUUUUGUAUUUGCCAGUAAGGGUCCCUAGCCUAUCCUAUAAAUAGCCUGUGGUAUUCCAUCAAUUGUAUACUUUUGGGUUAGGCAUAGGUUAGAAGAUCCUUACUCUAAAUUUUCUUUCUACUUUUCCUUCUUCUACAUAUUUUAUAUUGUUAGAAUAGACAAGGAGAAGUCAAAGAUACAAGAAGAGAUCAACUUGUGCUUGACAACAAUGGUUAGAGAUAAGUAUAUUUAAAUUUCCGCUGCGUAGUACAUUCACAUGUACAUAGUUAGUUUAACAGAACAAUCCAUCGAUUGUCUAAUCGAAUUAACCAUCUAGUACCCACGGAUAUCGGACUUGAACCUAUGCAUUGCCAUCCCUAUUAUUAUAAUUGUUAUCAUGCUUUAUAAACACAUAAUUAAAGAAAGCAUUCCACUCCUUUUAGUUUAUUUUAUCUUUUUUUCGUGAAAGGAAUGCAUUGCAGCUUAGAACUUUAGAUGCCCUAAUUUUUUAUGGAUUCCUAAAUUUUUCUGUUAUCAUGUAUUACUUGUUUCAUUUUUGAAGUGCAAUGAAUUAUCGUUUGUAUGCUUGCAGCUACUAGUACGUUUGCACGAAUUUUUGUUUGAAUUUCUUAUCUUUAAAUAUUACAUCCUGUUUUGUACUUUGUUUUAUUUCUUUGUGUUUUCCCUUUUGUGAUUAGCUUGAUCUGUAAAGCUUAAGAAGCUUGCGCUGCCAUGCCAGUACACCUUGUGGAUAAAUAAGGAAAAAUUUAUACCUUUCUCCUUGUUAAAUUAAGUGAUGUUAAAAUACAAAAAGUGAUCAAGUCAAGAAAUCAAUGAAGGGACUGUAUAUGCUUCCAUACAACUGUGAAAUGUAGUUAAAGAGAGGAAUCAAGUAGAUUUGGUUUAGCAUUCUUACUGAAUACUUCCGUAUUAGUAUUAAUUAAUAUUAAUUAUCAAGAAAUAGAAGACGCUUGGGUUCAAAUCCCCCAUUCUCUCUCCCCUGGCUUCUUAACUCCCAUUUGCUUGAAAAAUAAAAAAGAAAGAAUUGGGAUUAGUCCUAUACAGUGUAUAAAAGUCCCAAAGGGACAUGAGAGAAGCGAUCCAAAAUAUUUUCAACAACCGCAUAUUCGGUUUUUUCUGGAAAAGAUUCUCAAUAGCUGGAGUCAGCUAGACCAUGAGCUGAGGCAGAAUAGGGUUGCAAACGAGUCGAAUCGAAUCGAGUUUUGGGUUAAUCGAGCCAAGUCUCGACUAAAUUUUACCAAACUCGAACUCGAACUCGAGCUCGACAAGCCGGCAAUUUAAAGCUCGAGCUCGACUCGAAUCAAUUUGAGCCGAGCUCGAGUUCGAAAAAAAAUUAAUUAUUUUAUAUUUUUAAAAAAAUAAAUAAAAUAAUAUUUUUUUCUUAAUAAAUAAUAAAAUAUUAAGGAUAUAUAUGUAAUUUUUAUAUUAAAAUAAGAAAAUAAGAAAAAAAAAUAUAUAUAUACACUUAAAAUAAAUAUAUAUAUGCUCGAGCUCGCGAGCCUAACGAGUUUAAUAUUUUGACCUCGAGUUCGAGCUCGAUUUCGACUUGAGCCAGUUCGCGAGCGGCUUGAUUCGUUUACAGCCCACCUGCUCUCAGAUUUGUACAUCUAAGAGCUUGUUUUAUUAGUUGUCCAUUUUUUAUUGUCAAGUUGUUUAUUAAAGUGAGUUUUCUUGAAGUCAGUAGGAGACCGCCCUGUUUUUGUGCAUUACAGCUAAUGCAACGUGCUUAUAAUAGUCUAUAUAAUGCAACGUCCGUGAAGCUAUAUAAUAGUCUACAAAAGCACCGACGGACAUGAAACUUGGAGCAAGUAGAUUCGUUAAAAUUCUUAGAGCGCCAAUAUGUCCACAACUGCAUCCCUAGUCCCUUGCUCAAAAGAUCAAAAGCAAGAGGAACUAAUGCAAGAAUACUGCAAGAACCUGUUGUCAACCCUCCCCAGAGAGAGAUGGUUUGGUUCUUCUUAUCUGUACAAGUACAAUGGCUUUUGGCUCGGUCCUAAAGGGAUGCCGGGGCUCAUUGCAUGCCAAAACCAUUUCCAAGCUCGGGACACUGAUUUCCUACUAAUUACCACUCCCAAAUCAGGCACCACAUGGCUGAAGGCCCUUAUGUUCACCUUAGCCAACCGAAAGAUUUAUCCAAUCAACCAAAACCAUCCUUUGCUCAAGCAAAAUCCUCACUCUCUGGUGCCAUUCAUGGAAUUUUUUUGCUCACCAGAAAAAAUGAACCCUGACUUUUCUUGCCCAUUGGGAAGACUAUAUUCGACUCACUAUCCACUUACCCUACUGCCCCAGUCGGUGCUGAAUUCAGGUUGCAAGAUUGUCUACCUAUGCCGAAAUAUUAAGGAUACUUUCGUCUCAUAUUGGCACUUCUCCAGGAAGUUAGGGGCUGAAGCUUCACUCGAAGAGUUUUUCGACAUGUUUUGUGAGGGAGUGAGCCUUUCUGGACCAGUUUGGGAUCAUGUUUUAGGCUACUGGAGAGAAAGCUUGGAGAAGCCUGAAAAGGUCCUGUUUUUGAAGUUUGAAGCCCUGCAGGAAAAGCCAAGUUUUCAUCUGAAACUUUUAGCUGAGUUCAUGGGGUGUCCGAUUUCACCCGAGGAAGAGACAUGUGGUUUUGUUGAUGAGGUUUUGGGGCUUUGUAGCUUUGAUAACUUGAGCAAUUUGGAGGUGAACAAGAGCGGGACCCAGCCGACUGCUAGAAAUGAAAUGUUUUUUCGGAAAGGAAAGGUUGGAGAUUGGAAAAAUUAUUUGACAGGUGAGAUGGAAGAACGCAUUGAUCAUAUCACUGCCCAAAAGUUCUUCGGAUCUGGAUUGAGUCUAUAGGAUUGUGUAAAAGAUUCAAAAACCUAUUCGUUUGGAUCUGGAUUGAGUCUCUAGGUAUUGGCAUUCCUUAAUCCAAGCAUGGUUGUGUUGUUCCAAAUUUACAUGUGUGUGUUGUUGUUAUCACAUGUCUUGUAGUGUAAAUUACAAAUAUCAUAAAAAAUUAAUACUUGUUAUUGAUAUUAAAAAGUACUAGCGUUCUAUUGAGUAAUUCUUCAUCCUCCUCAGAACCUGUAUUUGUUGUUGAAUUCAAGCUAAAAACAAGCUUUGAGGUAAAUUGAGUCUUCAUCCAUCUCAAAGCUGCAAUUCAGAAAGUUUGCUCACUUUGCUCCUCCAAUAAAUGAUUUCUAAACUUUCUGUCCCCAAAUUAUGAGAAAGGUACUUUUGAUUUGUUGGCCUACUAAAAAUCUAACGGUACCAUAGUUUGUUGACGGCCAUUGUCACGCUGAAAAUAAGAUUUGGGGCUGUAUUUCUAGCUCUAAGUUAGUCGAGAUAAGUGUUAAAUUUGCAUAUUUUUAGUGUGCUUUAUCGAUUAGUUUUUGGUGUGUUUUAGUUAUUUUAAGAGCUAAGUAAUUUAGGUUUCUAGUUAUGAAAAACCUGAAGGGAGGUUUUUGAAAUUAGGGAGAAUUAGAGUUUUGGUCCCCAAUUUAUUACCAACGCGCGAAAUUAGUCCCCAAUCGAUUGCAUAUAACAAAUGUGGUCCCUAAUCUAUUCAAUUUUGCUCAAAAGUGGACAAUUGACGGGUUUUCAUCAUUUUUUGACGGAAAUAAGUCACGUGAGAGCAUGUGCCCGUACUUAAAAUCCUUUUUCCAUUUUUUUAGCGGGAAAAUUCAUAAAAAACUAUUUCCUGCUUUCUGGUGCCCUUAUUCCUAAUUAGCAAAGACAAAACUCAAUUAGCAAAUGGAGUUAAUUAUAUUAAUUAGUGAUAAGGACGCCAGGCUCGACCUGAGCGACCCAUUCCUUGGGCUCGUCUUCUUCCAUAAACACAACGAACUCUGUCCGGCCGCUGACAGAGGCGGGCGUGGUUUCGCCGCUGGAAAGCACUUUCAAUCUGGAUUCCAUUUCCCUCCCCCAGGGCCGCCUUGGCGUAGAAUUAGAGCUACCAGUAGCAGCAGCAGUAGCUCUAGCGUAGGAGAGGUGAUAGCGGCGGGAGACAGAGCCGGGUUCGGAAUUGGCGUAGUCAUCCCCGCGGUUAUUGUGGUGGUUGGAAGAGCCAGAACAGGGCUUGCAAUUCUUGUACGUACCCGAAGCCUUUAUUCCAAUGUCCCUGAUCUAAAACACAAUAAUAAUGCCUAAUGAUCAACAAAUGUAAAACUGGAAUGAAAAUAUUACUCCGUAGAGAAUUAUGUAGCAGAAUGAAAAAGGCAGAGUAAUGGAUGGACAUCAGACUACAGUACUUGAGAAGUGAGGGCUUUGAUGGCUUAUCUAGUGGAAGGAGUGGAAAUAGCGGCGGCGGCGGCGUCGUCGUCGUCGUCGUCAUCAUCAUGCUGGGGUUGGGGAAGAGAUGCGGCAUUGAGGUGUUGCUUAGAGCAAGCUAUACAAGUCAACAUUAUUUGCUGCUUGACUGGACCAGAGCUGCGCGCCGAGGAAUUGAGAAUGUAGAAUAGUUUUGCCUUUUGGGUGUGGGAUCUUCGCUAGUAAAUCAAAGUUUAGCUUUCGCCCCCGGGGUACCAGGGAAAAAGUGGGUCAGCAAACCAAUGGAGGAGUACAUGUACUCGGGAAUUUGAUCAGGGCAUGAUCAAGUGCGAAGAAAAAACGAGGAAAAUGACUCAACUUAUGUUAUGAAGCAUGAAGGGUCGGUUCAGAAAAUUGCAGUAGAAGUUGGAGAAGGAGAAGGUUGGAGAGAGAGAGAGAGAGGUAAGCGUUAGCUUCAUUUGCAGCAGGAUUCCUUCCAUUUAUUAUUCUCUCUAUUUUUUGUCUGUCUACUCGCCCUCCAUCACACUGCCUUGUUGGAUAUCAUCUUUCAUUAAAAAUCUAAAAGCGAAUCAAAUACUACUGGGAGGAGUUCAUAAUAACUAAAGAAUUGUAUACAUAAAGAAUUGUUUGAUGUGAUUCUUUACUUCUACUCCCACGGUGUUGACUACUUUAAAAGAGAAAAGAAAAUAAUAAUAAUAAUAAUAAUAAAUCAGAGCUAAUAGUAAUAAUAAUAAAUAAGGCAAUAAAAGAAGAAGAGAAUGUGAAAGGGAAAACAAAGAAGAGCGAAGAUGCAGAGAGAGAAAGAGACUAGUGUGAAAGAAAAGCUGUUGAGAUUUGUGGGGUUUUCAAUGCUCUCUCCGUGUGGUACUGGUGCAUAUAGUAGGGAGCAUUUCUGCAAGGAAAAGAUCAUAAGAGAGGCGGGCAACGGGUUUUGCUGCAACCUGCAACUUUCGAGUUUUUUCCGUCCGUUUUUGUCACAUUUUGGGUUUAAGUUUCUGAGAGAAACACUUCACAACCUCGUGGGGGCAUGGCCUCAUCUGGUUUUUUGUUCUCGUUUCUGGAGCCUAAAGAGAAAAAGGGGGGACAAUUAGUGUGUUUUGUCUUUGCUAAUUAGGAAUGGGGGCACCAGAAAGCAGGAAAUAGUUUUUUAUGAGUUUUUCUGCUUAAAAAAAUGGAAAAAGGAUUUUAAGUACAGGCACAUGCUUUCACGUGACUUAUUUCCGUCUAAAAAUGAUGAAAACCCGUCAAUUGUCCACUUUUGAGCAAAAUUGAAUAGAUUGGGGACCACAUUUGUUAUGUGCAAUCGAUUGGGGACUAGUUUCGCGCGUUGGUAAUAAAUUGGGGACCAAAACUCCAAUUCUCCCUUGAAAUUAUCCCUUUUGUACGUGCAUAUCAACGGAACAAGUACGUAUACUAGCACAUCUAAAGUGAGUACUAAACACUCAAACACGGGCACACAUACACACACAUUCUCAUUUGGUCAAAAGUAGGGGAUGCAAUUGAUUCGAAUGACUCGAUUCGAACUCGAUUCAAGUUCAAAAAUUUUUGCUAGAGAUUGAAUCUAAUCAAGUUUAAGAAAUAUAAAUUAAUAUAAUUUUAAACAAGAAAUAAAAUAGACAUUUUAUACAAAUAUAUAUAUACAUAUGAAAAUUAAUUGCAAUCGUCGAGUUUUCAAGUUUUAUAUAUUAGGCUUGGAGUUUAUUAGGUAUUUUGAAUUGCUCGAACUCGAUCAUUGCAAUUUGAACUUGAGCUUUGAAUGAACCUGCUGGUAAGCUACUCGAUUCAGGUGGAUUUAUUUGCACGUUUGUCUGUUACAAGUUUUUUAAAAACUUUAGUUAUAAUAAUCUUAAAAAAUUUCUCAAAAAUUUUAAAUUAUACAUUUCAAAAUAUUCAAAAAAAAAUACACUUCAAAAUUUUUUUAAAAAACUUCUACAAUAAAUUACAAUAAAAUUCUAGAUAAACAUUCAAAAAACUCAUCUUCCAAACAGGCCUCGGUCCAGUCAAAAACUUCACAUACAAACACGCAUAAACACACAUAGUUCCACGUGCACGUGUGAGAUGGACACACAAACACAAAGAUCCAAUCAUGCUUUUAUAGUUGCCAUCAUUUUUUUUCCAGUUUUUAUUCUGCCAUUUUUUCACCUUUUUUUUCCAUUUUCGAUCCCUAUCAUCAUCAUCAAUCUUUUCGCCGACUUCCACUUCUUUUUCAUCAAAACUCCUAUCCCAUACAAAAAACAAAAUUUAAAAAAAAAAAAAUUUACCCUUCGGGCUUCGUUGGCGGCUCUGGUGGCCCUCCAAAAAAGCCUACUUUUUUUGCUUGCUUUUUCGGACUUGGAUUUUGUAUGAUCAUCUAACCACCACCACAUCCAUGACAUGCAAAUAGUCAAUAUCAUAUUAUUAAUGUAAGUAAAUCGUUCCCCGUUCUCUUUAUUUCUACGGUUACAUGUAAAAAUGGCCUAAAAGAAUAUUUAAACCCGAAAAAAACGCCUUUUUGUCCAUUUUUUUUUGGGUCUGUUAGGCUAUAAGAAUACUUAGUUUGAUGGGUUUUUGGUGUUUUUAUGAUUUGUUUCAAAUUUUGAUGAAGGAAAUGGAUCUGGGCUGUGUUUAUUUCUUAAUCUUGACCACUUUUUUAAUGGUGGGUGCAGGUUGUUUUCUCGUUCUUUAGCAUCCAAUAUUGACUGUAUUGGUAGUAUCGAGACUUUUGACUUUUAGAGCGGCACUAGAAGAAGUUUGAUAACAGCUCAUUAUUGACUAUUUGUUGUAGAUUCUCAAAUAUGCAAAUAAAAAAAAAAUCUGCUAUAUUUGAGCCCUGCAAUUCUUUUCAAGAAGUACUUAAUGGAAGUAAUGAAACUCUUGUUUGUUGGAAUAGGAAGUUGGUUGUUUCCAAGAAGGAAAGAGAUAAGUGAAGUAUUGCAUCAAGAAGAAUCUUUUGCAGUUUAUUUUGUCUGUCUUUGAGAAUAGAAGAUAUGGGGAAGACCCGUUUGGGUUGUUAUUAGCUGUCUCUGAUUCUGCGGGAAUAAUUGGAAAGUAGUACGAUUCUUAUAGAAAAAGAAGGGAGAGGACAGGGGUGAUCAGAAAGAGAUUGAUUCUGGUUUGGAAAGAUUAUGCUGAAGAUAUUGAAACCUUCAUAAACAUGGGGUCAAUUUUGGAAGUUAAUUUCGGUUACGAAAUAGAGCAGAUACAGCAUCGUUCUUGCUUUUGAGAACUUGCAGUCUUUUUCCAGGAGUGAGAAUAGUUAUUAGAGAAGGGUAAUCUUCUGUUAAAUUUAAAAGAAAAAGACCGUUAAUCAUUUGAUUGUGUUUUUGGAAGAUGGGAUCAUUUCCUGGUCAUGUUCUUCCAGGAACGUUAUUUCUUCUUGUUGGAAUAUGGCAUACAUGGUGUUCUAUAGAACGAUACGUAUUGAAUCCGAAAUCUUUUCGUGUCAGGGUAUGGAAUCCUAUUCCCGGUUUUGAUGGGAAACUCAAGUAUUUGGAGCUGUAUGUUAUAACAAUUGGAUCUUUUAUUGAUAUGUGUAUAGAGCUGCUUUAUUCUACCCAUCUUAAGUGGUUUGUCAAUGGAAUGCUGAAUUCCGGACACAUGAAUAAUUUUGAGCAUGGUGGAAUGCUUCUCAUGUUUUUCAUCUUCGGCUUGAUCGCAUUGCUUUCUGAGAAGACAAGGUAAGUCAUUCUUUGCGGCAUUCUCCGCCUUUAGUCACAGAUUUUUUAUCAGUGUGUGUUUCAUGUUUUAGUAUUUACAUUUGUCGGCAUCUUUUCUUUUUGUUGCUGGGUGCCUGGAUCAAAUUCACUCUUGGUCUGCCAUGGUGAAUUAUUGACUUUUCAUCAGCCAAUUUAAGGAGAACUUAGGAUUUGAAUUUUUGUAAUAUAUUAUUUUUUCUUCUGAGAGAUGAGGUAUUUGUAAAAGACAUUGAAUAGGAUAACCUUUUUGGGGGCUGAUAAGUAGGGGAAAGUAAACUUUCCAUAAUGAUAUGCUUUGUGUGGUGAACAAGAGAAAGCAUGCUGAAGGAGAUGAAACUGAAUAGCUUAUAGCCUGACCCAUGUUUGCUUUUGCAUGUGCUCUCCUCCACACUCGUGUGGAUUUCAUAUAUGGACAGCCUAUUGUUUUGAAUGUUAGGUGAGAGCAUAAACUUGCCUUCAUGAUUAGAUGAGAUGCAACCCAUAGAAACAGAUAGAACAUAUCACACAUUUACAUUGCCACAUCAAAUUUUUAAUUCUAUUCUAGGAUGGUAAUUGCUGCUUUAUUUUUUGAAGUUUGCUGAUUAAUAAUUUUAGUGUUCUGGAGGCCAACUUGUGAUUAUUGUUUAAAAUACUCACAUUGCACUCCAUAACAGCUGAUAUCUUUCUUGUUUGGAAUUUUUGGUUCUCUUAAAAGGUAUUUUUAUAUGAGAAAUGUGAAUUGUCAGUCUUACAAAUGAUUAACACACACUUAAUUAGAAUAGAAGUUACAAUAUACUAUUUUAAAAGGACACUGCUAUUGUUUAACAUACCCAUCUGGUUGAAAUCAUCUUGUACACAGAAAAGGAUCUUUUACUCAUCCAGAAGGCUAAGGAUGAUGAGUUUGUAAUUUUGGACUUUGUUUCUAUAUAAUUGUAAAAUAGAAAAGAUGUUCAACCUAUUACGACAUGCUUUAAGGAGAAUAUAAAGUUCAUAUUCUUUUGGGACCAUAUGGCAUUUCAGGCAUUGGGUUACUUAUUAGUGACAUGGGUGUUCUCUGUGGUUGUAUCUUGGAAGUUAUGAAGGAGAUGUGCUUGAAGUAAAAAGUUUUCGGAGCUAAUCAGUAGAACAUACCUUGUGUUAAGGGUGUCCCUUUUGUUCUUAUUGAUUUUUCUUGGAAAGCAAAUCAUUUAUCUGAUAAGUUCAUAUAUUUAAAGAAGCCAUGUUAUGGAGUUUCAGAUUGUGACAUACAAAGCGUGUUCUGAUAACUUCUUGGGGCUUUAAUUUGCUAAAGCACAUCUAAGUUGUAUGCAUAUCUUCACUUGUAGAAUGUAUGUAUGCACAAUGUGUCUUUUAUCUGUUUUCCUUUAUGGGCAACAAGAUAUUCAAAUUGAGAAUACUUCAAAGAGUUGACUGAACUCUUUGCUGCUCUAUUCUCCAUUAUAAAGUAACAUGAAAUUUUGUUUUCCAGUUUGUAACCUUGAAUGCCUGCUCGAGAAUGUAGACCAAGUAUUGCUCUGGCUCUCUCUCUGUGUCUGUUUUUGAUGAUUGUUACACAUGUUUCCGUUAUUCUCAACGUAAUCCCUGUUGGUACUAAAUCCCACUUGUAUGUAAAGAAGGUCCAUUUAUAUUUGCAAUAUGGUCUUUGUGGCCAAGAAUUUGACAAACCAAGUAUCCUCUCCUGCCAGUUCGCGAGCGGCUUGAUUCGUUUACAGCCCACCUGCUCUCAGAUUUGUACAUCUAAGAGCUUGUUUUAUUAGUUGUCCAUUUUUUAUUGUCAAGUUGUUUAUUAAAGUGAGUUUUCUUGAAGUCAGUAGGAGACCGCCCUGUUUUUGUGCAUUACAGCUAAUGCAACGUGCUUAUAAUAGUCUAUAUAAUGCAACGUCCGUGAAGCUAUAUAAUAGUCUACAAAAGCACCGACGGACAUGAAACUUGGAGCAAGUAGAUUCGUUAAAAUUCUUAGAGCGCCAAUAUGUCCACAACUGCAUCCCUAGUCCCUUGCUCAAAAGAUCAAAAGCAAGAGGAACUAAUGCAAGAAUACUGCAAGAACCUGUUGUCAACCCUCCCCAGAGAGAGAUGGUUUGGUUCUUCUUAUCUGUACAAGUACAAUGGCUUUUGGCUCGGUCCUAAAGGGAUGCCGGGGCUCAUUGCAUGCCAAAACCAUUUCCAAGCUCGGGACACUGAUUUCCUACUAAUUACCACUCCCAAAUCAGGCACCACAUGGCUGAAGGCCCUUAUGUUCACCUUAGCCAACCGAAAGAUUUAUCCAAUCAACCAAAACCAUCCUUUGCUCAAGCAAAAUCCUCACUCUCUGGUGCCAUUCAUGGAAUUUUUUGCUCACCAGAAAAAUGAACCCUGACUUUUCUUGCCCAUUGGGAAGACUAUAUUCGACUCACUAUCCACUUACCCUACUGCCCCAGUCGGUGCUGAAUUCAGGUUGCAAGAUUGUCUACCUAUGCCGAAAUAUUAAGGAUACUUUCGUCUCAUAUUGGCACUUCUCCAGGAAGUUAGGGGCUGAAGCUUCACUCGAAGAGUUUUUCGACAUGUUUUGUGAGGGAGUGAGCCUUUCUGGACCAGUUUGGGAUCAUGUUUUAGGCUACUGGAGAGAAAGCUUGGAGAAGCCUGAAAAGGUCCUGUUUUUGAAGUUUGAAGCCCUGCAGGAAAAGCCAAGUUUUCAUCUGAAACUUUUAGCUGAGUUCAUGGGGUGUCCGAUUUCACCCGAGGAAGAGACAUGUGGUUUUGUUGAUGAGGUUUUGGGGCUUUGUAGCUUUGAUAACUUGAGCAAUUUGGAGGUGAACAAGAGCGGGACCCAGCCGACUGCUAGAAAUGAAAUGUUUUUUCGGAAAGGAAAGGUUGGAGAUUGGAAAAAUUAUUUGACAGGUGAGAUGGAAGAACGCAUUGAUCAUAUCACUGCCCAAAAGUUCUUCGGAUCUGGAUUGAGUCUAUAGGAUUGUGUAAAAGAUUCAAAAACCUAUUCGUUUGGAUCUGGAUUGAGUCUCUAGGUAUUGGCAUUCCUUAAUCCAAGCAUGGUUGUGUUGUUCCAAAUUUACAUGUGUGUGUUGUUGUUAUCACAUGUCUUGUAGUGUAAAUUACAAAUAUCAUAAAAAAUUAAUACUUGUUAUUGAUAUUAAAAAGUACUAGCGUUCUAUUGAGUAAUUCUUCAUCCUCCUCAGAACCUGUAUUUGUUGUUUUCAAGCUAAAAACAAGCUUUGAGGUAAAUUGAGUCUUCAUCCAUCUCAAAGCUGCAAUUCAGAAAGUUUGCUCACUUUGCUCCUCCAAUAAAUGAUUUCUAAACUUUCUGUCCCCAAAUUAUGAGAAAGGUACUUUUGAUUUGUUGGCCUACUAAAAAUCUAACGGUACCAUAGUUUGUUGACGGCCAUUGUCACGCUGAAAAUAAGAUUUGGGGCUGUAUUUCUAGCUCUAAGUUAGUCGAGAUAAGUGUUAAAUUUGCAUAUUUUUAGUGUGCUUUAUCGAUUAGUUUUUGGUGUGUUUUAGUUAUUUUAAGAGCUAAGUAAUUUAGGUUUCUAGUUAUGAAAAACCUGAAGGGAGGUUUUUGAAAUUAGGGAGAAUUAGAGUUUUGGUCCCCAAUUUAUUACCAACGCGCGAAAUUAGUCCCCAAUCGAUUGCAUAUAACAAAUGUGGUCCCUAAUCUAUUCAAUUUUGCUCAAAAGUGGACAAUUGACGGGUUUUCAUCAUUUUUUGACGGAAAUAAGUCACGUGAGAGCAUGUGCCCGUACUUAAAAUCCUUUUUCCAUUUUUUUAGCGGGAAAAUUCAUAAAAAACUAUUUCCUGCUUUCUGGUGCCCUUAUUCCUAAUUAGCAAAGACAAAACUCAAUUAGCAAAUGGAGUUAAUUAUAUUAAUUAGUGAUAAGGACGCCAGGCUCGACCUGAGCGACCCAUUCCUUGGGCUCGUCUUCUUCCAUAAACACAACGAACUCUGUCCGGCCGCUGACAGAGGCGGGCGUGGUUUCGCCGCUGGAAAGCACUUUCAAUCUGGAUUCCAUUUCCCUCCCCAGGGCCGCCUUGGCGUAGAAUUAGAGCUACCAGUAGCAGCAGCAGUAGCUCUAGCGUAGGAGAGGUGAUAGCGGCGGGAGACAGAGCCGGGUUCGGAAUUGGCGUAGUCAUCCCCGCGGUUAUUGUGGUGGUUGGAAGAGCCAGAACAGGGCUUGCAAUUCUUGUACGUACCCGAAGCCUUUAUUCCAAUGUCCCUGAUCUAAAACACAAUAAUAAUGCCUAAUGAUCAACAAAUGUAAAACUGGAAUGAAAAUAUUACUCCGUAGAGAAUUAUGUAGCAGAAUGAAAAAGGCAGAGUAAUGGAUGGACAUCAGACUACAGUACUUGAGAAGUGAGGGCUUUGAUGGCUUAUCUAGUGGAAGGAGUGGAAAUAGCGGCGGCGGCGUCGUCGUCGUCGUCGUCAUCAUCAUGCUGGGGUUGGGAAGAGAUGCGGCAUUGAGGUGUUGCUUAGAGCAAGCUAUACAAGUCAACAUUAUUUGCUGCUUGACUGGACCAGAGCUGCGCGCCGAGGAAGAUGAGAAUAGUUUUGCCUUUUGGUGUGGGAUCUUCGCUAGUAAAUCAAAGUUUAGCUUUCGCCCGGCCCGGGUACAGCGGAAAAAGUGGGUCAGCAAACCAAUGGAGGAGUACAUGUACUCGGGAAUUUGAUCAGGGCAUGAUCAAGUGCGAAGAAAAAACGGAAAAUGACUCAACUUAUGUUAUGAAGCAUGAAGGGUCGGUUCAGAAAAUUGCAGUAGAAGUUGGAGAAGGAGAAGGUUGGAGAGAGAGAGAGAGAGGUAAGCGUUAGCUUCAUUUGCAGCAGGAUUCCUUCCAUUUAUUAUUCUCUCUAUUUUUGUCUGUCUACUCGCCCUCCAUCACACUGCCUUGUUGGAUAUCAUCUUUCAUUAAAAAUCUAAAAGCGAAUCAAAUACUACUGGGAGGAGUUCAUAAUAACUAAAGAAUUGUAUACAUAAAGAAUUGUUUGAUGUGAUUCUUUACUUCUACUCCCACGGUGUUGACUACUUUAAAAGAGAAAAAAAAAAUAAUAAUAAUAAUAAUAAAUCAGAGCUAAUAGUAAUAAUAAUAAAUAAGGCAAUAAAAGAAGAAGAGAAUGUGAAAGGGAAAACAAAGAAGAGCGAAGAUGCAGAGAGAGAAAGAGACUAGUGUGAAAGAAAAGCUGUUGAGAUUUGUGGGUUUUCAAUGCUCUCUCCGUGUGGUACUGGUGCAUAUAGUAGGGAGCAUUUCUGCAAGGAAAAGAUCAUAAGAGAGGCGGGCAACGGGUUUUGCUGCAACCUGCAACUUUCGAGUUUUUUCCGUCCGUUUUUGUCACAUUUUGGGUUUAAGUUUCUGAGAGAAACACUUCACAACCUCGUGGGGCAUGGCCUCAUCUGGUUUUUGUUCUCGUUUCUGGAGCCUAAAGAGAAAAAGGGGGGACAAUUAGUGUGUUUUGUCUUUGCUAAUUAGGAAUGGGGGCACCAGAAAGCAGGAAAUAGUUUUUUAUGAGUUUUUCUGCUUAAAAAAAUGGAAAAAGGAUUUUAAGUACAGGCACAUGCUUUCACGUGACUUAUUUCCGUCUAAAAUGAUGAAAACCCGUCAAUUGUCCACUUUUGAGCAAAUUGAAUAGAUUGGGGACCACAUUUGUUAUGUGCAAUCGAUUGGGGACUAGUUUCGCGCGUUGUAAUAAAUUGGGGACCAAAACUCCAAUUCUCCCUUGAAAUUAUCCCUUUUGUACGUGCAUAUCAACGGAACAAGUACGUAUACUAGCACAUCUAAAGUGAGUACUAAACACUCAAACACGGGCACACAUACACACACAUUCUCAUUUGGUCAAAAGUAGGGGAUGCAAUUGAUUCGAAUGACUCGAUUCGAACUCGAUUCAAGUUCAAAAAUUUUUGCUAGAGAUUGAAUCUAAUCAAGUUUAAGAAAUAUAAAUUAAUAUAAUUUUAAACAAGAAAUAAAAUAGACAUUUUAUACAAAUAUAUAUAUACAUAUGAAAAUUAAUUGCAAUCGUCGAGUUUUCAAGUUUUAUAUAUUAGGCUUGGAGUUUAUUAGGUAUUUUGAAUUGCUCGAACUCGAUCAUUGCAAUUUGAACUUGAGCUUUGAAUGAACCUGCUGGUAAGCUACUCGAUUCAGGUGGAUUUAUUUGCACGUUUGUCUGUUACAAGUUUUUUUAAAAACUUUAGUUAUAAUAAUCUUAAAAAAUUUCUCAAAAAUUUUAAAUUAUACAUUUCAAAAUAUUCAAAAAAAAAUACACUUCAAAAUUUUUUUAAAAAACUUCUACAAUAAAUUACAAUAAAAUUCUAGAUAAACAUUCAAAAAACUCAUCUUCCAAACAGGCCUCGGUCCAGUCAAAAACUUCACAUACAAACACGCAUAAACACACAUAGUUCCACGUGCACGUGUGAGAUGGACACACAAACACAAAGAUCCAAUCAUGCUUUUAUAGUUGCCAUCAUUUUUUUUCCAGUUUUUAUUCUGCCAUUUUUUCACCUUUUUUUUCCAUUUUCGAUCCCUAUCAUCAUCAUCAAUCUUUUCGCCGACUUCCACUUCUUUUUCAUCAAAACUCCUAUCCCAUACAAAAAACAAAAUUUAAAAAAAAAAAAUUUACCCUUCGGGCUUCGUUGGCGGCUCUGGUGGCCCUCCAAAAAAGCCUACUUUUUGCUUGCUUUUUUCGGACUUGGAUUUUGUAUGAUCAUCUAACCACCACCACAUCCAUGACAUGCAAAUAGUCAAUAUCAUAUUAUUAAUGUAAGUAAAUCGUUCCCCGUUCUCUUUAUUUCUACGGUUACAUGUAAAAAUGGCCUAAAAGAAUAUUUAAACCCGAAAAAAACGCCUUUUUGUCCAUUUUUUUUUGGGUCUGUUAGGCUAUAAGAAUACUUAGUUUGAUGGGUGUUUUUAUGAUUUGUUUCAAAUUUUGAUGAAGGAAAUGGAUCUGGGCUGUGUUUAUUUCUUAAUCUUGACCACUUUUUUAAUGGUGGGUGCAGGUUGUUUUCUCGUUCUUUAGCAUCCAAUAUUGACUGUAUUGGUAGUAUCGAGACUUUUGACUUUUAGAGCGGCACUAGAAGAAGUUUGAUAACAGCUCAUUAUUGACUAUUUGUUGUAGAUUCUCAAAUAUGCAAUAAAAAAAAAAUCUGCUAUAUUUGAGCCCUGCAAUUCUUUUCAAGAAGUACUUAAUGGAAGUAAUGAAACUCUUGUUUGUUGGAAUAGGAAGUUGGUUGUUUCCAAGAAGGAAAGAGAUAAGUGAAGUAUUGCAUCAAGAAGAAUCUUUUGCAGUUUAUUUUGUCUGUCUUUGAGAAUAGAAGAUAUGGGGAAGACCCGUUUGGGUUGUUAUUAGCUGUCUCUGAUUCUGCGGGAAUAAUUGGAAAGUAGUACGAUUCUUAUAGAAAAAGAAGGGAGAGGACAGGGGUGAUCAGAAAGAGAUUGAUUCUGGUUUGGAAAGAUUAUGCUGAAGAUAUUGAAACCUUCAUAAACAUGGGGUCAAUUUUGGAAGUUAAUUUCGGUUACGAAAUAGAGCAGAUACAGCAUCGUUCUUGCUUUUGAGAACUUGCAGUCUUUUUCCAGGAGUGAGAAUAGUUAUUAGAGAAGGGUAAUCUUCUGUUAAAUUUAAAAGAAAAAGACCGUUAAUCAUUUGAUUGUGUUUUUGGAAGAUGGGAUCAUUUCCUGGUCAUGUUCUUCCAGGAACGUUAUUUCUUCUUGUUGGAAUAUGGCAUACAUGGUGUUCUAUAGAACGAUACGUAUUGAAUCCGAAAUCUUUUCGUGUCAGGGUAUGGAAUCCUAUUCCCGGUUUUGAUGGGAAACUCAAGUAUUUGGAGCUGUAUGUUAUAACAAUUGGAUCUUUUAUUGAUAUGUGUAUAGAGCUGCUUUAUUCUACCCAUCUUAAGUGGUUUGUCAAUGGAAUGCUGAAUUCCGGACACAUGAAUAAUUUUGAGCAUGGUGGAAUGCUUCUCAUGUUUUUCAUCUUCGGCUUGAUCGCAUUGCUUUCUGAGAAGACAAGGUAAGUCAUUCUUUGCGGCAUUCUCCGCCUUUAGUCACAGAUUUUUUAUCAGUGUGUGUUUCAUGUUUUAGUAUUUACAUUUGUCGGCAUCUUUUCUUUUUGUUGCUGGUGCCUGGAUCAAAUUCACUCUUGGUCUGCCAUGGUGAAUUAUUGACUUUUCAUCAGCCAAUUUAAGGAGAACUUAGGAUUUGAAUUUUUGUAAUAUAUUAUUUUUUCUUCUGAGAGAUGAGGUAUUUGUAAAAGACAUUGAAUAGGAUAACCUUUUUGGGGGCUGAUAAGUAGGGAAAGUAAACUUUCCAUAAUGAUAUGCUUUGUGUGGUGAAAAGAGAAAGCAUGCUGAAGGAGAUGAAACUGAAUAGCUUAUAGCCUGACCCAUGUUUGCUUUUGCAUGUGCUCUCCUCCACACUCGUGUGGAUUUCAUAUAUGGACAGCCUAUUGUUUUGAAUGUUAGUGUGAGAGCAUAAACUUGCCUUCAUGAUUAGAUGAGAUGCAACCCAUAGAAACAGAUAGAACAUAUCAACAUUUACAUUGCCACAUCAAAUUUUUAAUUCUAUUCUAGGAUGGUAAUUGCUGCUUUAUUUUUUGAAGUUUGCUGAUUAAUAAUUUUAGUGUUCUGGAGGCCAACUUGUGAUUAUUGUUUAAAAUACUCACAUUGCACUCCAUAACAGCUGAUAUCUUUCUUGUUUGGAAUUUUUGGUUCUCUUAAAAGGUAUUUUUAUAUGAGAAAUGUGAAUUGUCAGUCUUACAAAAUGAUUAACACACACUUAAUUAGAAUAGAAGUUACAAUAUACUAUUUUAAAAGGACACUGCUAUUGUUAACAUACCCAUUGGUUGAAAAUCUUGUACACAGAAAGGAUCUUUUACUCAUCCAGAAGGCUAAAUGAUGUUUGUAAUUUUGACUUUGCUAUAUAAUUGUAAAUAGAAAAGAUGUUCAACCUAUUACGACAUGCUUUAAGGAGAAUAUAAAGUUCAUAUUCUUUUGGGACCAUAUGGCAUUUCAGGCAUUGGGUUACUUAUUAGUGACAUGGGUGUUCUCUGUGGUUGUAUCUUGGAAGUUAUGAAGGAGAUGUGCUUGAAGUAAAAAGUUUUCGGAGCUAAUCAGUAGAACAUACCUUGUGUUAAGGGUGUCCCUUUUGUUCUUAUUGAUUUUUCUUGGAAAGCAAAUCAUUUAUCUGAUAAGUUCAUAUAUUUAAAGAAGCCAUGUUAUGGAGUUUCAGAUUGUGACAUACAAAGCGUGUUCUGAUAACUUCUUGGGGCUUUAAUUUGCUAAAGCACAUCUAAGUUGUAUGCAUAUCUUCACUUGUAGAAUGUAUGUAUGCACAAUGUGUCUUUUAUCUGUUUUCCUUUAUGGGCAACAAGAUAUUCAAAUUGAGAAUACUUCAAAGAGUUGACUGAACUCUUUGCUGCUCUAUUCUCCAUUAUAAAGUAACAUGAAAUUUUGUUUUCCAGUUUGUAACCUUGAAUGCCUGCUCGAGAAUGUAGACCAAGUAUUGCUCUGGCUCUCUCUCUGUGUCUGUUUUUGAUGAUUGUUACACAUGUUUCCGUUAUUCUCAACGUAAUCCCUGUUGGUACUAAAUCCCACAUGUAAAGAAGGUCCAUUUAUAUUUGCAAUAUGGUCUUUGUGGCCAAGAAUUUGACAAACCAAGUAUCCUCUCCUNNNNNNNNNNNNNNNNNNNNNNNNNNNNNNNNNNNNNNNNNNNNNNNNNNNNNNNNNNNNNNNNNNNNNNNNNNNNNNNNNNNNNNNNNNNNNNNNNNNNNNNNNNNNNNNNNNNNNNNNNNNNNNNNNNNNNNNNNNNNNNNNNNNNNNNNNNNNNNNNNNNNNNNNNNNNNNNNNNNNNNNNNNNNNNNNNNNNNNNNNNNNNNNNNNNNNNNNNNNNNNNNNNNNNNNNNNNNNNNNNNNNNNNNNNNNNNNNNNNNNNNNNNNNNNNNNNNNNNNNNNNNNNNNNNNNNNNNNNNNNNNNNNNNNNNNNNNNNNNNNNNNNNNNNNNNNNNNNNNNNNNNNNNNNNNNNNNNNNNNNNNNNNNNNNNNNNNNNNNNNNNNNNNNNNNNNNNNNNNNNNNNNNNNNNNNNNNNNNNNNNNNNNNNNNNNNNNNNNNNNNNNNNNNNNNNNNNNNNNNNNNNNNNNNNNNNNNNNNNNNNNNNNNNNNNNNNNNNNNNNNNNNNNNNNNNNNNNNNNNNNNNNNNNNNNNNNNNNNNNNNNNNNNNNNNNNNNNNNNNNNNNNNNNNNNNNNNNNNNNNNNNNNNNNNNNNNNNNNNNNNNNNNNNNNNNNNNNNNNNNNNNNNNNNNNNNNNNNNNNNNNNNNNNNNNNNNNNNNNNNNNNNNNNNNNNNNNNNNNNNNNNNNNNNNNNNNNNNNNNNNNNNNNNNNNNNNNNNNNNNNNNNNNNNNNNNNNNAUAUAUAUAAAGCACACUAUUUUAGUCAAGUUCAUUGACAUCUGUUUUGUCCUUACCAUGGAGACAAAUGACUCCUUUGCUGUAUAAUCAACAAGUCUAAUGUAUACGUCAAUGGUACAUAAUUUUGAGUAAAUCCAACAUAAAUGUUUAAAAUGAUUAAAAAAAAAAAGGAAUAGCAAUAAUCCUACCAAGAAGUUUAAUCUUGGACUUUAGCCAGUUUUAGAUCAAUCGAUGAGUUAAUUUCCACCGGAAAAUCUAUCUAAGAAUCCUAGCUAAUAAUGGAUGUCACCAAGUAAUUUGUUUGGAUUGAAAAUUGCACGGGAAAAGACUUUUAGUUACUGUCAUACUUCUUGUGAUAUGGUAUAUAUAAAAUUAUAAGGUGAUAGAGUAGCGUAUUUAUGGCAUCUCCAAAAUUUUUUUCUAAAUAAUUCCUCCAAAACAGUUGCCCUAGAUAUGUAGCGUAUGUCAAAAAGAGUACUUUUCUUUAGUCAAUGGUCGUCCGAUUUUGCUUGUACUCCAAGGCGGUGGUAAGAAUACAUUGUGAAAAUUCUAAGCUUAUAUCGUUGUGAAAAUUCUACACUCCGGACGACUAGAAAGUGUUUUUUUUUUUUUUUUUUGCCCUUCAAAAAUCUGAUUUUUAGCUUGGAAAAUUUCGAAUUUAAUCAAAGAAAUUGCCGAGCAGUUGUUCUUGGUUCCCUACACAUAUAUACCACAACAUUAUUGUCAACAUUUGUUCUUGAUUGCCUACAUAAUCCUCAUCCUCUGAAUUUUCAGCUAAUUAAUACUAGGAAAUAGUGCGUGUGUUUCCAUUUUCUUGUUUUGACUUCACAUUUCUAUAAUUUUUUGACAGGUUGAUCGGUUAGAUUUUACAAUUGGGUUAAAAACAAAAAAUCCCCCUAUAAUAUACCUAAUAUACAAAAAGCCCCCGUGAUUUCAAAACAUACAAAAUGAUACCUCAUGUUUUGAAUUAAAUUGUAAAUUAACAGCAUUCAUUAAAGUUAACAAAAAUAAUGGUUUCGACUGUUAAACUUACCGAAUUCUGUUAAAUUUACCGUUAAGUUUACCGGAUUCCGUUAAGUUUAACGAAUUAUGUUAAUUUACAAUUUAAUUCAAAACAUGAGUUGUCAUUUUGUAUAUUUUGAAAUCACGGAAGACUUUUCUGUGUCUUAGAUAUACCAUGGGGGGCUUUUUUAUUUUUAACCCUUUAUAAUUUGAUUUUGUUGGUUGGAAAAUCAGUUUAGUUGACCACAAUUAUUAUAAAGAGACAUAAAAUAUUGCGCUUCCAGAGAGAAAUAAUUAAGUGGACUAUUAGUGUUUAAUUAGUACCACCCAUAACUUAAGAUUAGAUUAAGUUUAUGGAAUUGAGUUCAAGAUAUAAGCAGUGCUAAAUUUUGGUAAACCAUUUACUGAAGCAGUAUCAACUGACGAGUAAUGGAAAUGUUUUAUUAAAGGAAUGUAUAAGAUAUAUCGGUGCUCAAAUCGAUUUUAACUUUCACAUGUCCUUUUAUUCAAGGAUAAUGAUUUACAAUACCAACACGAUGGACUGCGAUAUAUGAAUCAUAAUUUUGUAAUUUUCUCUCUUAUUUAUCUUUACCUGAUUUUACUCCCACGAUCCUUGAUUUCUAUUUCAGUAAAUUAUAGGUUAUUUAGAUACGUUGUGAUUUUUUUGUCGCUUUUUUGUGGCAAUACUCUAUAUUUAAUAUUUUUUUUUACCUUAUCACCCCUAGAAGUGUAAACGAGUCUAAUCAAGUCGAAUAUUCUAAUGAUUAAAUUUGUUUGAUUAUUUUAACAAACUUAAAAUUUUGCUCAAAAUGGACUUUUCUAUUUGCUGAAUCGAGUUUGAACAAUCUUUUUAUUGAGUUUAAGUAUUAUCGAACAUAAAACACUAUUUAAAUUUAACUUGAUUAAUUAACGAAUCAAGAUCAAAUGAACUUUUAUCAAGUCAAACUCGAUUUAAGUAGCAAAUUACUUUGUCCAUCUUUCAACUCUACCCACCCCUCGUCAUACCCCUUUUUCCACAAACUGUCAAUUAUAAUAUUAGAGUCCUAAACCUGACAACGAGAGGAAGAUUCGUCCUCUUUAUUCAGACUCCGUUUGGAUUAGCUGUUUUUGGGGUUGUUUUUAAAAAACAACACUGUAGCAUUUCGUUUUUGAAAUACAAGUCCGUUUGGAUUAGUUGUUUUUGGGGUUGUUUUUCAAAAACUAUAUGAAAAACUUUUACUGUAAAUAUUUUUUGGAUUAUUUUUAGAGGUAUUUUUAAAACAUAUUUUUUGAGUAUUUUUAUAAUUUAUAAUUUUUAUAUUUUUAUAUUUAUAUACAUUUAUGCAUUUAUAAUACAUUUAUAAAUUUAUAUAAAAAUAUAUAAAUGUAUUAUAUUAUAUAUAAUACAUAAUAUAAAUAUAUUUAUAAAUGUAUAUUAUUAUAAAUGUAUAAAUUAUAAAUGAAUAUUAUAUAAGUGUAUAAAUUAUAAAUUAUAAAUUAUAAUUUUUACAUUUUUAUAUAAAUAUAUAUUUAUGCAUUUAUAAUACAUUUAUAAAUAUUUAUAAAUAAAUAUAUUUAUAUAUUUAUAUAAAAAUAUAUAAAUGCAUUAUCUUAUAUAUAAUACAUAAUAUAAAUAUAUUUAUAAAUGUAUAAGUGUAUAUUAUUAUAAAUGAAUAUUAUAUAAAUGUAUAAAUUAAUAUAUUAUAAAUAUAUAUUAAGAUUAUGUAUAAAUGUAUUAAUAUAAUUAAUAUAAAUGUAUAAAUGUAUUAAUAUUAUGUAUAAAUGUAAAAUUAAUAUUAUGUAUAUUAAUAUAAAUGUAUAAAUGUAUUAUAUUAUAUAUAAUACAUAAUAUAAAUAUAUAUUAUAAAUAUACAUUAAUAUAUAUAUUAUGUAUAAAUGUACAUUUAUAUCAAUGUAUAAUAUAUAUUAUAUAUAUAAUUUAUAUAAUAUAUAAUAUUUAUAUAAAUAUAUAAAAAUCUAUAUAAAUAUUUUUUAAAUAAAAUAAAUUAUUUAUAAUAUGUAUAAAUAAAUAUAUUAAUAUUUAAUAUAUAUAAUUUUCAAUUUGUAUAAUAUACAUUAUAUUGUAUAUGUAUAAUAUAAUAUACAUAAUAUAAUAUAUUAUACAUAAUAUACAUUAUUACAUUAUUACAUAAUAUAUUAUACAUAAUAUACAUUUAUACAUUAUUACAUAUUAUGUAUAUUAUAUAUUAUACAUAACAUUAUUAUACAUUAUUAUACACAAUAAUGUACAUAAUAAUAUUAUACAUUAAUAAUGUAUGUAUUAUAAUAUAAUGUACAUAAUAUGUUAUGUAUAAAUAUUUAUACAUUUAUGUAUACAAUAUUACAUAUUAUGUAUAUUAUAUUAUAUUAUGUAUAAUAUUAAUGUAUAUAAAUAUUUAUAUAAUAUAUUAUAUAUAAAUAUAUAAUUUUCAAUUUUCAAUUUGUAUUAAUAUAAUAUAUAUAUAUAUAUAAUAUACAUAAUUGAAAUAUACAUAUGGAGUUGUUUUUGAUAUAAUGUUUGGAUAUGGUGUUUUUUGAGUUGUUUUCGAAAUACACAUUUACUGUAGUAUUUGGAAUGUGAAAAACAGUUUUUCAAAAUAGAGAAAAAAACAAGGAAUCCAAACGGAGUGUCAGUUGACACACAUUCACUACAAAAACUAUCCAAUUACAAGACUUUAUAAAAGCGUUCGACUCUAAAGGCGUGAUACUUGUUUGGAAAGGGAUUUUUCAUCAAAAAAUCUCUAUAUUUUUCGUGAACAUAUUUUUGAAUCACAUUUUUAUCUUACACAUAUCAAAAUCGGUACAAUAUAUUUUUUAUAAAAACUCCAAAAAAUGGCAAUCAAAACAUUAUAGUUCUUGCAUUAUGAAAUUAAGGGCAUUACCACGCUUUUGAAAUAAAGCACUGUCACGCCUUUUGCCUGACUCCUAAAUUCCUAAUUACCCAACUUCAGAAAAACAAGAGGUUUUUCUUCCAAAAAAAAAAAAAGGUCUUUUGGCUGAAAGACGACGUCGUUGGACGAUUUCAUUCAUCACAGGUUCAAAUUUGUUAUUUUCAAAAUUCCGGGAUCCCGCCACUAUAAAUAUCCCCCACAACGCGAAAUCUUUUCAAACUUCAUUUUCCCUAAAUUGAUUCCGGAGAGAGAGAGAGAGGGGAGAAGAGAGGGAGAGAGAUGAGGACGCGAUCGACUAAGAGGAAGACAUCGGCGGUGAACCUAUUGGCAUCGCCGUCGCCGAAGACAGCAGAGGCGACGACGCCAGGAAGCCCUAUGAUGAAAUCGCCGAGUGAGUCGCCGAAAGAAUUCGAGUUCAGCUUCAACACAACCAGGCUGGCGUCAUCACCAUUAAUGAAGAAGAAGAGCAACAGCAGUGGCGGUGUAGGAGGAGCAUCAUCGGCUUCGAUGUUCAUGCAGCGUACCGGAGGAGGGCCAGGAGGAUUCUCACCCUCGCCGCUCAGAGGUAUCAACUCCAUUUCGGAUCUGAAGGGGCUAGCUUCGUCUGGGUUGGAUUCUAUCAAACGUCAGCUGGAGCGAUCGCAGUCAGAAAUUCUUAAGGACAUUGAAGCUUCACAAUCUCGUCUCCAGAAACGAUUUAAGGUCUCUUUCUGUAUUUAUGUACGCGUUUUAGUUCAUAUUCAACGAGUUAUGAACUUAAUUACUCUAAUUAGUACUGUAUGGACUGCAUUUUAUCUAAUUUCGUUGGUGAUACCAAAUUUCAGCUUAAUAUUCUGUUUUGUGUACCUAAAUUUCAUGAAUUUUGAAGCUAUGGAGUACUCUGAUAUUUUUCUUUUGUACGUCUAUUCGGUUCUUUGAUACAACUAUGAGUUGCUAUGGUUUUGGAUGUGUUUUGCUAUAAUCUUUAUUUUAUUUAUCUUUAUGGUUUUGUGAUUUUUUUGACAGAAAUUAAUUCAAAUCGUCUGUCUAUGAAGAGUGAAGACACAUACAGAAAAAUGAUAUGUGCAGACAUAGAAGUUUUGCUAGGAUUUUCUUAUCCUUGAAGUUAAUUGAAUAAUUAUACUGGAAAAAAAUAAUGAUACAAUCUAAUUGAGGGUAUGAUGGGUCAUGUGCGUGUAUAUACUUAUGAUCGGAUAAGAUAAAAUAACAAUUAUUGUAUGGUACAAGUAUUUUUUUUUUGCUUCUCAAAUUGCAUGUAUACUGUCAACUAAAAUUCUCAAAGGAUGUGUGCUUCGUGGUCUGAAUGUUUACAUAUAGAUUGUUUUUAUCUAUCUUAGUUGUUAUUCUCCAUCAAUCUGCUUGUUUAAAUGGAAUUAGUGUGAAUUUUCAAAAUUCCGUUCAGGUUGUUCUUACCUUGUGAUAUUUCAACAACUCAUGGUUAGAUUUUAACAUGCACACCCAUGCUUUGGCACUUGCGAUGCCGGCUCUUUCAACCAUUGUGAUAACACUAGGGCCCAGUUUUUGCAGAUACUUUUUCUUCAAUAGUUAAAUAAGGCGUUCUUCAUGUGUAAUACUGCAAAGACUGUACCCAAUCACUUUAGAAUUACCAUAAUUUUCUGCUUGAUAUAUAUAUAUAUAUAUAUAUAUAUAUAUAUAUAUAUAUAUAUAUAUAUAUAUAUAUAUAUAUAUUUUGCUAGUAAUACUCUUGUAUUUUCCUCUUAAAAGCUGCUGCACUUUUUUGACUGUUCGAUUAGAAGUCGUAGGUGUUGGAUAUACUAUACCUGUGAAAAUGGUUAUUUUUGUGGCACUGGCUUUGUUACCAUUCAUAAACUGUUGCAUACCGUGACUGCAUUGCAAUAGAUGUCUUAGACAUUGGUUCUACAUUACUUUGUAAAGUUUGAUUAGUCAAUAUAUGUACAAAGUUCCCAUAGCCAUAUGAGACAUCAUAUUGAGCAUGUCAUGGAAGAUCCCUACUGUGAGAUAGUUGCUCCUCUUGAGGUUUAGUUCACUUCUUGUUUGUGCAUGGUAUUGUACCCUUAAAAUAUGAAAUGAAGAGUUUCUGUUGAUUGUGCAUUACAUGAGAUGGUCAACACACAUCAUAUUGCAUUGCUGGUUGAGAAAUAUAGACUCUCUGUUAAAAAAUGAACUAUCAUUGUAAUAUUGUCUGAAAUUAUGGAAAGCUCACUCUCAUUGAUACGAGCACAUGGUUCAUUUCUUUCACCCUUUAUUUCUCUUCUUCUAUUUUUUUCAAUAAUUAGGCUUUCAUCUAUUCGCAAGAACUAAAGUGCAAUGCCCCGGGGCCACAAGCUCAAGUUUAGCUUUCAGUACAGAAGUACUUAAUUGUUAAAAUUGGUUGUAUUACUAAGUUACACAAGUCGACUUCAGCCUUUAAAUUUUUGAACUGUAUAGAUCAAGAUUUAGAUUUUAUAAGGGAUUGCAUUGCAAUGUGUUUUUAAAAAGGUUGCACAGAAAUGUGAGGAAAGGGUUCACUUAACUGACACUAAGCCAUGCAGCAGAACUUGACAUCACAAGAUGUGGACUUACCUCCAUGUCAUCUUGGCAUCAGCAUCUAGAAUCCCAACAAAGUCUUUAUGCUUCUUUUCUCUUAAGAUUCUUAAAUUUGUUCUAGUACAUUUUCUUUCCAAAUCUCCUCAGUAGCUGUUAUUGUAUAAAGUCUAAGCGCAGUUGAUUUUUUCUGUCACAAUAUACUAGCUGAGAUUAUGAUGCUUUAGUUGCUAGUAUUGUAUUGCACUGCAAUUAUGGGUAAUACUUGCAAAUCUUUGUGAAUCAAUAUCUCAGUGCACCUUUGCUCUGCUUCACUUCUUGUGCCAUGAUGACAGAUUCAAUCUCAAGCAUGCCAGCAAGUGAUGGACGAAGCAGAGAGAGAAAACAAGAAAAUGUCUGAUCGUAUCACUGAAACUCGGGAAGCAAUGAAGGUAGGAGUCAUGACUAUCAUGUCACUAUAAUCACCCCAUUAUCAUUCUCUAACUCUGCUGUCUUGAUGGACUUUCAGGCUUCAUACAAUGAAUUCAUGAUUGAAGCACAGUCCAGUGCAUCACGUUGUGAGUUUCUUAAUUUUUUUCAAAAUGUUUGUUCCAUACCUCAAAUUUACUUCAGCAUGGUUUAUAGCUGCUGUUCUUCAUACCGGCUCACCCAAAUUAAGGAAUAACCUUGUAUAGGGCAUAAGCAACAACCCAUGUCUACAUAUGUGACAUAAUUCUUCCUGCCUAACUUUCUCAGCCCAUGAACUGUUUCUUUUCUUGGUUUGUCCCAAAUUGCAGUGUGCAAAACUUCCAUUCCCGAAAUUUCUCAGUCCUUUGAGAAAUCCAUCAACUCUCUCAGAAGCCGCUAUGGGAUUUCCUCAACUUCAGCUUUGUAGACUUACUGAGUUUCUAGGUGAGUGUAUUACUAAAGAUUUACUGUCCUGUGAAUCAUAUUUUCUAUGGUCAGCUUUGGCGUUUAAUUUAUACAUCUACAUGAAAAGUGCAUGUCUUGGUACAUAGUCUUAUAUGCUUAUUUGUGUAUGUAAAGCUGGAUUCAGAGUUUCUCUUUCUGGAAAGUGACAAUUCCAGCAGGAGACAUUUACUCAGUUUACUAGCAACUUGUUUUAGAGGUAAAUCUUGUACUGGCUUUCGGAAAAAGAAAUAACUGUGGAAAUUUGGAGUAGCGUUGACGCAAGGCAAACUCAUAAAUCUUGGACAGGAUAGUUGAUAAUAUUGAAGGAUUGGCACACAAACAUUUUGCGCACUGUUAACCCUCGUUUAUAUUUACUUUUAUGCCACUCAAUGUUGAUCUUUGCCUUGGGUUAUAAAAACUGCAUUGUAUCACACUUUAAGUAGCAAAUCACCCAAAUUUUGGUUGUGAUAACUUCUGGUGUCAUAUGGAAAUACUGAAAAUUCAGGAUGACAGAAUACACUCUCAGCAUUGAAUUUAGAGGGCUUCUUAAAUAUGAUGAGGUGCACGCUUGGUUUCUUUCAUCCGUCAUUGUCCAUCAUCUUUUGCUUUGUGCCCCAUUAGACUAAUCUUUUAGAUGCUAUGUCUAUUCUAUGCCAUCCAAACACUAGACAACACUUGUGCUUGAAUUGUGUUUACAGUUCUUAAACAUUAAUGUUGCAAUUUAUUAUUUUGAUUUCUGGACUGAAUUUCCACUCCCUGCCCUUCCCUUUCCCUCAAAGUAAGAAGAAAAACGAAACAGAAUUCUAUACAUAUGAACAAUCCUCCUGCUAUGGAAUCUUUAUGUUUUUUUCCCCUUUCUGCAGAGAAGUUGCGGAUGGUAUGAAGAGAAGCUGCUGGGGGUGUCUUAUUGUAAUAUGAUUUCUUUCUUAGCUUGUAAAUUUACAUCGUCUGCAUAAAUCUGGCUAGCUACAUAAAUAGAGAGGAUACAAAAAGGGUAAACUUGUCUUCAAAAAUUCAUAAGCUACAUUAGUGCUUCUUCCCACUUAUUUGGUACCAUCGCUUACUUUUCCCUUGUUCAGCUCCUGAACUUUGAUUAAUGCGUAAUCCAUACUGUAAAAAAUUUGCAACUUCUUGGUCCUGCCGAUUAUCCCUACAAUUUAAAUGUUAAUACUGCUCAUGAUUGCCCAAUAGUGAGCCUAAAAUGUAUUGUAUGAACUUUAUAAAGAAGUUGAGGUUGAGAAGUGAAUUUUAGUUUAUUUGUGCAUUAUGACAAUUUUAUCUUUCUUUGAAGAUGCUAAAGAAUGGAUUUCAAAAUGUGCAAGACUACAGCCUUUGCCCACUCUCCUCCUCGUGUACGAGACAUGAAAAUGAUGGUGCUCAGUGAUGGGUUAUUUUCCAUUUGUUUUUCGUUUAUUAUUAUUAUUAUUAUUAUUUUAGAAAAAUUAUUACCAUUUCCAUAAAGUCUCCUGAGUUCAAAAGCUGAUCAAACUUGUCAUCCCGUAUAACUUUUGUCAGAAAUUGUUAUGCGAGAAAACUGGUCAAACUGAUUCAGACAUCGGUGACAUGCAAAUCCCAUCAGGAAUAGCUGUUCCCUGUUUUAUGGUAAAUUCAGCAGGUUCUUUUCUUUUACUUAAUUUUUUUUCGGGUAGUAUAGUCCUUUUCGUACGUGUAAACAGUAAAACGAAUCAGAUAAGCUUUUUGCCUCGAAGAAUCUGAAGAAAGAUAUCCCCGACCAACCAUUUGAGCCCUUGUAACUGAACCGAAGCAGAGAAAGCAGUGAUGGAAACCUUUUCCUAUCCAAGACCACAUCCCUUAUCCUCACUCUCUUCAACUUCACUAAGCUCAUCAAAACACCUUCUUCAACUCCCAAUCUUAACACCAACAUAUAGGAACCAAUCUCGUCAACUACAAUUUACCUCAAUCUCCGCAACUCUAAAAGCUCCAAGAGGCUUCGGACCAUCCCCAAAAAAGGCCAAGAAGACCAAGACACCAAAGAAAGACUAUGAUGAAGAGGAAGAUGAUGAUGAUGAUGAUGAUGAAGAGGAAGAAGAUCGAGUAGAAGGAGUUAUACCAGAGAUAGUCACCAACAGAAUGAUGAGCAGAAUGGGAUUUUCAGUGGGUGUCCCUUUGUUUAUAGGGCUAUUGUUCUUCCCAUUCUUUUACUACCUGAAAGUUGGGUUGAAGAUAGAUGUGCCCACUUGGAUACCCUUUAUUGUAUCAUUCAUCUUCUUUGGGACAGCCCUUUUGGGGGUUAGCUAUGGGAUUGUGUCAUCCAGUUGGGAUCCUUUGAGAGAAGGGUCAUUCUUGGGUUGGAAUGAAGCUCAGAAGAAUUGGCCUGUGUUCUGGCAGUCAAUUUGGGGUGGUGGAUCAAAGAAGAAGAAGUAGAACUUGUACAAUCUGCUGUUAUUGCAUAAUCAUUCAUCAACAAUUAAUGCCCCUUUUCUGGGAAUGACUUGCCUAAAUUUUGAUGAUUGCCUUCUCUACAUUUCUUUAGUUCAUAUACUCCACAACACAAGACCCCAUUUAUUUUCCCCUACAUAUAAUGGCUUUGCCGUUUGUAGUUGUUGCCAUUGAUUUCCGUUUUCUUUUCUUAUUUUACUUCUUGAAGUAUCGCCUGGAUGAGAAAUGUUCUGGCUGUUAUUGAUAGUAAAUAAGUAGCUGAGAAGGGACAUCAAAUUAUUGAAAGCAAAGGUCUAAUCUCCAUACCAGAUUUAAAAUGACUGCAUCCUUGUGCUUCUUAAUUAUCUGUUCUCAAAUUCAUGUCCUUUUACACCUAUUUAAUGCUGCCAUUCUGGGAAUAUUAUUAAAAAAAAAAAGGAAGAAACCUUUCUUCAUGCUAUCUUCAGUUUAUAAAAGUGGACAAGGGCUAGUGCAGUUGUGAUUUGAUCCAGUUUUGUGUCGUGUUUAUUACAUUAUUUGGUAUACAAUCAAAUUAUCUUAUUAUAUUUGUUAAAAAAUUGAUAUAUACAUAUAUAAUAUUUGAUAUAUAUUCAGUACAAUAAUCGUUAUGUAACAUUGUUAAUAUAGAAUUAAUCUUUCCUUCACUAAAUGUAUACAUUGUCAGUGUUGGAUGAAUGACAACUAUAUAAAAUUUGAAUUUGAAAUUCAAUUUUUGCAUAUGUGUCAUGGAUCCAACGGUGAUAGUACACGUACUGUCAGUAUAGGAAAGAUUUACUCUGUUAUAUAUCAAAAUUAUGAUAUGUACAGUAAUUAAAUACAAUCAGACAACCUUACCUGCAUCCAGUCCACAUUGUCGACGAAAGAGGAAUUAUUCAAAACUAUGACUUAGACACCUGCGGUGUCAUUGUUGAAACAAAAUAAUUUGAAUGGCUCAACGAUCUGGGGUUACCAUUUUUCAGCAAUGGGAUCGGCAAAAGUAUGAAUCUGGCAGCGUUAAAUAAGGCGGACAACCUGCUUUAAAAAUCUCUAAAACUUCUUGCUGUUAAGGAACAUUUUGCAGUUCCAGGCACAGCCCAUCCGUCUUUCAGAAGGGUUGGGCCUGCUAUGUGAGGUCCACAUCCAGAUUUCGCAAUCUCCUCCUCUUUCCCAGUUCCCUCUCCAAACACAUAAAUUAAAGUGGAUUAUGCGGAGGUUUUCUCCUUUAUUAUUAGAGUAAAUUUUAUGUAAAUUACCAGUGUAUAUAUAAUCAUGAUCGGAUACAUGAUAUAUAUAUAAUUUAAAUUUUAAAUUCAAAUUCAGAUCAGUUGUCAUUUAUUUAGCCAUAAUGGUGUAUAUACAGUAUCAGUGUACAAUAGAUUAAUACUCAUUUAUUAUUAUUGUUACUUUCAAAUGAUAAUAUUAAAAAAAUUUUGUAUCUUAGGUAGGAAAGGACCCCCAAAAAAACGGAAGAAGAAAACUUCAAUGCUUGGCAUCCAUAAAGCAAAUAAAUGUUCAAUUUCUCGCAUGCAACAAUUUUAUGGACUCUUUUUAUGUUUACAUGGACCAAAAUUCUAGUCUAUGAUACGUAUGGUUAUACUAUGAUUCAUAACAUAAUUCGAAUUUUCCAAUUCUGUAUGAAGUAAACGAAUAGGACAAUUACGUAAAUUAACUCUUUCUUUCUUUUUUUGUUUUCCCUUCGUUGGCUGGUGUUAUUAUUUUGUUCCUAAAUCCUAGGAGAGAAAUGAAAAUUGCAUGUUUUUAUAACAUAGUGAUUUCUGAAGACAAAACGAAGUGAUUGGAGGGAGGUUGUUUUGAACAAGCAGUUUUACAGUUGGUCUCUUCUUUUAACACUAUUAAUCAGUGAUUUUUUUUUCAAACAAUAUACAAAUCUACAAAAAAGAAGCAAGUAAUCAAAGUGUUCUAACAUUGGAAAUAGUGAAAGUCUUAGGAUCGAGAUUUGAUCUACUUUACGCAGAUGAUUGAUCGCUGAAUAUCUUUAUAAUCACUUUACAAACUGCAUGGCAUUGCUUACCCGAACCAACAUUCCUAACGUUGGAACAAAGUUUAAGCUCGACACAAUGCUUUUCUUUUCAUGCCUCCCAACCUUUGCACAUUACUUUAUACUACAUUAUUUUGUGGCUUUGCCUGUGUGGUAAGGUACCCCCAACACCCUAACUAGUUGAGUUGCUCCCCUUCUUUACUCUUCUUAAUUUUGUGUUUUUGUAAUGGAAGAUUUAAGGUUAUCCCCCUAGCAACAAAAAAUAUUCAUACAUUUAAAGAGUAGUAAAAUAAACUUUUAUUAACAUAGAUAUUAAAGGGACUUGAAAUCAAGUCCUUUUAUUUCAGGGCUCUCACCCUUUUUCUUUUUUUUUUUCUUUUUUUUUUUGGUACAAAUUUAAGUGCUUUCGGGAAUGUUCUUUAGCUAAAUAAGACUUUGACAUAUUGUUAUUUGGUAUGUUUCACAUAAAUAGACACUAAGUAAGUUUUUCUUGCUUAUACUAGACUAAGACGCUGUUUGAUAAUCCAAUUCAGCACUUAAUUUUAAUAAAUUCAGAUGUUAACAUAUUCAAACGCGUUUUGAUGAUCAAAACUAGAACAUCUGAUUUCAUUAAAUGGCAUUGAAUUUUUUAGACAAAAUUUGCUCCAAAAAAUAAGUAAUAAACUAUGUCACUUUUAUCACUUAAUGUGAUAUAGACUCAAAUGUAUCAAAUUUAACAAUCACUAAUUUAAUGAAGUCAGAUUUCAAUUUUCAGAUUUUAGUUUCAUCAAACGUAGCCUAAGUAAUGAAAAUUAACAAAAAUGACAAUCUAAUUUUGCAUCAGAAAUUGUCAUCCGAUUUUGUGUAAUGGAUACCACAGGAACAACAAAGGGACAGGACAGAUUAACAUAUUUAGUAAUGCCAAACUUGUUGCUAGGUUUUGUAUGCUCCCAUGUAGCAUGGCUUAUGCUCAUAUAAUUGGCCAAUAAGUAGGCUAAUCAACAAUAGGCUUUUUAGCCUUUGAAUUAAAGGUUUCCGUUCAAAAUCUGGUAGCAUUAUGGUCCCAUUUAGUCGUAGCAUUUGUACGAUUAACAUAAUUACUAAUGUAAUCCACCUAGCAAUGCACAAAAGGGGUGAAGCAAUACAAAAGUUUUCAUUCAAAGCCUAUAGAGAUUUUGAACUUUACUUCCAAAUUGCAAGAGAUAGGAUUGACAGGUGAGCUUGAAGAGGGGUGCAUGGCUUUGGACCUUGACUAUGCUUUUCUUGCUUAAGAAGAUCUCAUGGGGAACCUCUUUAGGGCUGGGGCGGAUAAAAGCUUCCACACUCAUAGCAAACCACGUGGCAAAAACCCAUUUGACCACAGACAGAGAGAGAGAGUGAACUAGAGACAGAAAUUGAAGUUAUAGAGGAGAGAGAAGGUUGGAAUUAUUUUUUGCUUCUUGUCUCGUUAUUCCAAGCAUUUUUUCUUUGCUUAAAGAGAGGUUAGCCCCCAUUGGAAUAAAGCUAAGGGACAGACAACAAAACUGGUUAAAGCUAAAGCACACAAUUGCCCACAUUGCCAAAGCAGCAAAAUUGCAACAACAGCCAAUGCUGACAACACCCGCAGCAGUAGGUAAAACAGUAAACAAUUCUGCGUGAAAUUUGGUCAUCUCUGCCCAAGGAAACCCAAACAAAAUCUCAGUACAGUGAAGGGUCACAGCCGGCAGGUCAGUUUGAAUCUAACGUUAUGUAGGAACCAGUAGUCGAUGGUGGAUUUUACCUGUAAAGUCUUGAACGUCAGAUUUUGGAUUACUUAGUUGUGAGGCAAGACAGAAUCAGACAUUAAAAUAUUGGAGGAUAACAUCAUCAGUUGUUAGGUUAUUAACCAUCAUAUGAUAUCCACUGGUCAUUAUCACUUUUGUCGAGGACGACAAUUUUUAAUCAACUAAGGACGUUUGUGCUGUCAUUGGAUAUUCAUUAAUCAAUUGGGUUCUUGUCUAAAUUAAAACGCCUGUCAAUCUUAACAAGAAACGGUCAGAAGUUACAUUCAGCAAUUAUGUAAAAUGGGGUGCUGACGAUUGGCCGAGAAGAGGGUCGGUCUGCAGUAGUGUACGGAGGUUAAGAAUCAUCAUCAUCAUCAUCAUCAAAUGCAUGGUUAUUGCAAUCUUUUAUGAAAACACACAAGGAUGAUUAACUUCUUCCUGUAACACUUUUAUAAGAAAUACGUUUGUGAGAUAAAAAUAUGAUUAGAAUUUCUCAGAAAUCACGAUUAAUUUAUUACCAUGAGAUCGCCCCAUCAGAAAUGAAUGCAGAAUCCUAUUUGGUUAUUUGCCUUGAUGUCUGAGUCAUGGAGGAGAUGGGAAAAGAUCAAUGGUAGAUUCCAAUUAGGAUUAUGUCUGGGUACUCGACACCAGUAUUUCUUGUUUAAAGCUUUAGCCUUUCUUAAGCAAGUUGAAAAGACCCUAGAAUCUCACAGGAACCUUAUAUAUAGAUGUAAGCCUCUACUAGCUCCUCUCAGAAUUCAUGCAGCAUCACGUACAUUUCUUCUACUUUAAACUACUAUUUUAUUCCCUCAUUUUGCAGAAGAUUCUGUUUUGAAUCCAAGUCAAAGCUCAGAAGUGGGAAAUGAGAAUUUUAGCGUAUUGGAAAGUGCAAGCCCACGGUGGGAAAAGAACAAACGACACCAAUACUAUUCUUGGCAUCAACUGGAAGGAACAGUCUUUGGUUUUUGGCUCCUUUUACGUGGAAUUUCCAACAUUUUUGGGGCAUACAAAGGAGGAUUAGGAGCAUAAAUGUCUUGUACAAAUAAGUCGUGGUUUCCCUGGGGAAAAGCCAAUAGGUAAAUAAACUGCAUGAAAUAGUUACGUGUGUUUGAUGUCAACAAUUACAAGAAACAGACCUGAAUCUUAGUUGUAAAUUAAGCUGCAUAAUCUUUGUCAUAGGGUUAGAGUUGUUCAAAAGAUAUUUUUUGCAUCAAGUCAUUUAUAUUAACUUCUUCUCUGAUAUUUUUUCUACAAAUUUUGCUAAGGCCUGAAAAAAAAACAUCAAAACGCUGAUUCAAUGCUUAGAAUGGCAUUUUCCUAGUACGACUAAGUGUUAGAAUAUUAAAUCUAAAAUUUGAUUUAAGGAAUGUAUGUUCUUGGGACAUCCGCCCAUUGCAUAAGAUUUGUCUAGUAUGUUUUAUCCCUCUACGCGAUUAUUGGCGGGAUAUUGCACGGGACGAAAUUUAUUCAGAGCGAAUUCUCGAAUAACGAUUAUGGGUUCCUUAUCAACAAAAUAAUAAUAAUAAAAGAAUGCGUGUAUAAAAAAGGUUGUAGGAUUGCUUGCUGAAUAUGUUUUUCAAGAUUUGUGCAUCUGAACUCUUUACAGUUCUGCUACCAAAUGAAAUAGCAACCACGCACUAGGCACACUUGAAUCUUUGUGCCAUGGCCUUGUAGACAUAACAUUUUGGUAUUUCAGAAGUUAACUUAUCCUCGAGUGGUUUACUCUGCCAAUUUGUAAGUUCUACAUACGCAAGAAUAUAUGACUGCAAAAUUCGCCUUGAAUAAGUUUCAUCUUCAAGAAAGUAUAUGAAUCAAGUGGAAAUACUUUUCGCAAAAACAAAAAAAUUGACAAACGAUUCAAAAUGAAAAUCUUGUAGUAUAUAUCUUUUCAUGUUAAUUUCUAUGUAUGAUACCUUGUUGGCACAAAUCAAAAGUAAUUUGGAAAAUACAACCUCAUGUAUCCUAGUAUCACUUUUUUAUAUAAUGUAAAUUUGAUGCAUUUAGAGUUUAUCUAAGACUUAUAUACACUGUCAGUGCAUUAUUUUUAUAAUUAUAAGAUGCAAAUGAAGGUUUAAAAUUAUCAUAAAACUACACAUAUAACUAUGAGUUCCUUCAACCAUUUUCUUUUUUUUUUAAACAUUUUUUCUAACGAUGAGUUGCAUAAUUUGCAAUUUAACCUUCCUCCUUAACUAAAUUCAUACAGAUUAAAUCCAUUGACCUAUAUCAUAAAUCAAGGAACCAUGUUGUCAACAUUUUUCCUUUUUUUUUUUUUUUUUGGAUUGUAUGCUUAAAUGCUCCUUUCUUUUUGAGACAACCAUGAAAUUAUAAGAGCUAGAACUUUUAAUAUGGAGUAUUAUGUUUACAUAAUACUAGAUUCAAAGCGCCUAAUAGGUGGACAACCACAUUUAAGUUUGGUGUGGGAGGAGUGGAAUAUGGAGGGAUCAAGGAUACAACUAUGCAAGUAUUAUCAAGAAAAAGAAGAAAGAUUUUUUCUCAAGGACACUCAUUAGUAUAUUUAGUUUAAAAUUUUAGUUACUAUUUCAAAUACAUAUUCACAAUUAUUCCUUCUUCUUGUAUGUAGACAUUUUCUUGAUUUAACUUUGCUUUUCUAGAAGAACUCAUAUAUAGCCAAAAUGAAAAGAACAUUUAAAAAUCAAAUAGUACCAAAUAUUUUCUUUUGUUUAACUCUUGCAACUACUAAAAACAACAUAGCUAUAUAGGAACAACUAAUUAAAAUUGAUCACAAGUACUAUUGGCUGGCUCAAUUUGUAAACAACUUAUCCAACUCACAAGAUUUAUUACUAACAUUUUGUUAGUGCCUUGGGCACAAGAUUUUGUGUAUUGCUACUAAUAUUUUUCACGAAAUUAAAACUAAUUAAUCAGAAUCAGCAGAAACUACUUUUGGUAGGUUGGAGAUUCCAAUUUUUUUUUUUGUGUAUUGUAAAAUAUACAUCUAGCUACAAAAUCAAACAAAAAAAAUCAAUGAAACUGAUUUCCAAAAUGAGAAUACAAAAUCAAGUGGAAUAAUUGAACCAGAACAACCCUAAAACCACAAUCAACAACUAUUAACAUCCAAUUGUGUUUCUUUUCAUUUCUAAAAUUAAGAAUGAAAGUUAUAUAAGGGCUAGUAUAUAGUAGAUUUUAUUUUACCAUAAAAAUUGCACAUUUACCACUUUCAUUGACAUUUAGACACUUUUGAUUUAAUCUACCUUUCCCAAUAAUGUUUUAACAUUUGACAAUCCAUUGACAAGUGUUCAUUCAUUAGACAUUUGCCUAAGCAUUGACCUUAAAAAAAAAUUCAAAAUGAGCUUCUCAAAUUAAAUUAAAUUCCCAUUUCCUAAGUAUGACUAAGAACCCCAGAAAGCAAAGAGAAAAUCAUGAUUUGAUCUUUCAUGAUCCUUACAGAAUCAUUUCCUUAAAAUCAAGAAAAUACUGACUAUUGCACACCAAAUCCAAAAUUAAGCCCCAUCAAAUCCAUCUUGACAAGAGUAAAUGUGAAAAUCACCCAUGACAGUUCAAAGACCAAUACCUUCAUGCCACGUGUCAAUCAUCACAUCCACAUCAGCCCCAUGCUCAUAUAUAGGACAUCACCUAGACAGGUGGGCCCGUACUGUCUACACACUUCAAGACCGUCUGUAACGUCGGCCCCACAUCACAAACAUUGUACGAAACAAAGUCCAACUCUUGAUCCACAACGUACAACCCCUGUCGUCCAACCCCCAAACCUCCGUUAACUAUAACGGCGACACUUGACGGCGUCACGUCCCUCUAUAAAUACCCUCCUCGCUCUCUCCCUUUAUUCUCUUUCUUUGUCUCCAUUCUUCUUUUGUUCCCAUUUAUACAUUUGAAAAAAAAAAAAAAAAAAAAUCCUGCGCACUGCGCAGUAGUGUAUAUAACGUAAAACCUGGAGCCAAGAGAGAAUCCAAACUUUCCAUUUUCAAGCCAAGUUUUCCGCCAGAGACUCGCCGGUGACCUGUCACCGACGAUCCUCCGCAUCAUUUCCCAAAGAUUUUGUUUUAGCUCCCGAGAUUACGUCGAGAAGCAACAACCUAAAUGCAUAGCAUAUAUUCAUCCGUCUUCAUUCAUUUGAUUUGAUCUCAUCGUUCAAAUAUCGGAACCAUCUCUUUUUCCCUUCCCUCUCAUCCCUCAAGUUUCAACGCCCAAGUAUUCACAGAGUCUCCUCGGAUAGAUAGUUGUUUUAAGCUCGGUAAGUCUUCGAAGAAACACAUAGCAUGAGUUGCUUCAUUCCUUCAUGCAUGCCAUGCCAUGAAGUUUUGUUUUCUUUUUUUUUUUUAUAGUUUUUAAAACUUUUUUUUUAAAGUUGGAUUUUGAAAUGAGCAUUCACGGAAACGAACUUUUAGUUUCGUUUCUCCUUCAUUCAAUGAAUGCUGAUCUCAGUUGUUGGGUGAAUAUUCUGUUCACCAUGUCGGUUGGGGUUCACAAUACCCCAACCAACAUGGUGAAGAGAAGAGUGGUGGGUGAAGAGGAGUAAAAGGGGGUAGAAAUCAAGGAGCAGCGAAGCAACAGCAGAGGAAGAAAGGGGAGGGGAGGGGAAAGGAAAGAAAGUAGCAGUACAAGCGUGGUCUGAAGGGAUGGCAUAGGAGAGUCGCUUUCAAAACGAGAAGAGUAGCCUAGGAGAAGGGUAGCAGUACGUUUUUUCUUUUUCAUUCUUUUGUCUCUGUGUCCACUGACUCACCGCUUUCAAAACUCGACACACUCAGCAUUCAUUCAUUAUCACCAUCAUUUUUAAUCCAACAACCAUAUUCAUUUACAAGAUCCCACAGAAACAGUACCACUACUACUGGUAUAUUAAUCCACUCACACCACCACCUUAUUUAAAGAUAUUUACCCAUUUUUGUUUAUUUGAGUAGCGUGUGACUGUGUGUGGAUUUGAGGAGAUGGGAUCUUUUUUUUUUUCUGAAAGAAGUUAGCUUUUUUGAGUUUAUUGAGGAAUGAUGAUGUGAAAUGAAUGUCGGAUAAAAGAAAAAGGGGGUGAUUAUUAUGGCUGCUGCUGCUGUUUCUUGUUGUUGUUGUUGCUGCUGCUAAAUAUAAUGAUGAUGGAUCAUGAUCAUGGAUGAUGAUGAAAUAUGAAUGAAUGAAUAAAUCUGUCAGAAAAUUCGGCUGUUAGGAAAGUGUGAAGGGCGAACAGGAAUCCCAAAAAUCUCUCUGGCUGCUAUAUCUUCCCUGUACAAUUUCUUUAUUUUGUCACCUUCUUUAUUCCGUCUGGGGUUAGUCUGUACAUUAAAGCACAUACAUAGCUGACCUGACCACUUUCCUAUAUUUGCAUUCAAUUAUUGCUCUCUCCAUAAGUAAAACCACCCCACUACGUAGUAUUUAUCACCCUUCUCUAAUCCCGAGCCCUUCUCUUCAUCAGUGUAAUUUUUUUUUUUUUUUUUUUUUCCUUUCCCUAUCAAAGAUUUUGAAAAAAAAAAUGCAACUUUUAUCGUUUUUUGGGGAAAAAAAAAAGAUACUACUUGUUUUUUUUUCGUCCAAACAUGUAUAUAUGUUCAUUUUACUGUAUUUGUUCUUGGACUUAUCUCGUUACGUAGUUGGGUUAAUGGCUACAAAUUUUCUCGUUUUAGUUUUUUUGCCUGUCGAAGAUUUUAUCUUUUUUGGACAAAAGGGUACUCGUGUUUUUUUGUCUGAAUAUUUUUUUCUUCUUAUCUUGUUGGACUUACUAUAUAGUCAUUUUCCACAAUGGCUGGAAUAUUUCUUUCUGUUUUUCUUCUUCUUUUCCUAUCAAAGAUUUUGAAAUCCAAAUUUGAUCUUUAUUUGGACAAGAGGGUACUUGUGUUAUUUUCAUUGAGGGAUUGAUAUGUUUUUGUUGAUUUUUUUUUUUUUUUGCAGAUAAAAAGAAAAACAAAAAAAAAAAAAAAAAAAAAGGGUACAAGAAAAAGGACAGAAUUUUGGAACAAGAGGAGGAGGAGAAGAAGGAAGAGAAGAUGUUGACGUGUAUUACGUGCUCCAAGCAAAGGACGGAAGAUGGGGGAGAGGAAAGCGCGCGUGGGACUCCCAGUACAAAAGAAGCCGUCAAAAGCCUGACGGCGCAGGUUCUAAUCCUACACCCCCUAUUACUCUAUUAAGUUUAGUAUACUCGGCACUCCUAGUUUAUUUAGGUAUAGACUGGACUAUAGAAUAGACUAGCAUUCACGUUAUUGGCUAAAUUGUUCUUUAUUUCUUUUUGGCCAGUUUCUUUUUCUCUUUACUUCUUCUUUGUGAAAACAGACAAAGAUUAGUAUCUAAGACAUACAUCUCUUAACUGGGGUCCACUGUUUAGUAGGAUCCACUUACCAACCAUUGGUUUGUGUGUUCCAAAGUCUUUAGCAUGGGUAUCUGUAUCCCUCUUUUCUUUUCUUUUUUUUCCCUGCCUGGGUUGGUUUUGGUUUUGUACUGGAAAUAUUAGUUUAUAUGGAUUGUUUAUUUUUGUGGGUUUUCUUGAUUCUGCAAAAGGGGGAGUGAGAACUGAGAAAAUUGGGUUUUUGAAGAAGAUUCCCCCGCUGGAGAAAGAAAUAUGCUUUUGGUUUUGGUCCAUAUGGGAUGGGAGGACCAAAAAUGUGUUAGUUCACAGCUAAUGAAGCUUUAAAGCUUUAUGAGUGGGGCAUAUGGGUUGGGAUUGGCCAACGACUAUGACUUAAUUUGAUGCAGACAUGGUUCACCUUGGAUCAUGUGUCCGAUUUAAUCUUGGUCCCAUUCUCUUCCAUCGUUGAUUUUCUUUUUCUUUUUAACCUUUUUGUGGAAAGACUUUGAAUGAUCAAACAGUGUGCUUUGAUUUUCUAAUGACAGGAUCAUCAUAGGAAAUCUCAAGCUUAUUGACCAGAUUUAAAUGGAAUGUUUGAAUUUAAAAGACGACUGAAGCUCUUGAGUUCAAAUGAAAGCUCAUAUUAAAGACAGAUCUUCAUCUGAUACUGUUUUUGUUGCUUUCAUGAGUAAAUCUUCAUCUUACUGAUUGGAGGAAUUUCCAGCUUUGGAUCCUCUGUUCUUUGUCGGGCUUAUUUGAUACGAUUGAAUCUUCACUGUCAGAAGAUCCAAUGUCGGAAUUACCAAUAUGGCUAGAUAGUUUCUUGUUAAAUCUUUGGUUGCGUAUGUGUUUUGCUUUUGUCUUAGCAACAGAGCUUUCUCUAGCCACUUCUGCAUAGAAACCAUCAUACUUAUACGUGAAUUUAACUUGAUAAAUGGUAGUACUGAGAAAAGAGUGAUGCAAGAACUGCUUGCUGCUUUUCCUAUUCUACCACUUAUAACUAAUUUUUGUGGAACUGGGAUUUUCACACCAGCAGGUCUGCUCUUCUCAGUUCUAUUUUGUAGGGCCACCUGAGAGUUUUUUUCAGGAAAGGUCCCAACCAAGCAAAAGACUCUCACUCUGAGACUGGCAUUCAGCCCCUCUAAUUUAUCGAGUAGUCUGUUUAUGAUUGAGAAUCAAAGAUAGCAUUGGGAUUGGUAACUGAUAGCUCACCAGGUCUGCGAAAGCAAAGCAUGACCCUUCUGAUGAUCGUAUCUUUAAAACAUGAAAGCCAUCUCAGGUAUUUGUGGGAUUUUGGGGGGGGAGGGGCCAACUCAAAUUUCACUGAAGCUCAGAACUAGAAGAGCUCCUUUUCUCUAUUUUUGACAACUUAAAAUGAAUGAUGCUCUCUUUUCUUUGUUUUUUUUUUUGGCGGGGGGGAGGAAGGGGGGAAUUGUGGGGAGUGGGAUGGGGAGGGAUAGUUUAACGUGGUAUGUCAAUCUUUAACGUGGUAUAUUCCUAAGAUGUGUUUUGGGUCAAUUCAUCCUUAUAAAAUGCGACUAUGCAACGCCAUAAGAACAGGGUCACUAUCUCCAAGUGGGGAUAUUGACAAAAGACAACACGCAUGUUUGAUAAAGACUCGUCCAAGUUUCUAUGACUUGACCCACCAUUGAAAUCCUGUCUACCCACAGUUUUGCAGAUGGUACUCAAAUGUCAAGUGCCACGAGGCCAGUUGGGUUGUGAGGAAAUUAAAUGCUAAAUGUGACUCUACCUUGCACCAUCUGCCUGUAUACAGCUCCUGCUGGUCAAUUCAGCUUAUUUAUGUACAGAAGAAGAUGUGGCAAAACCAUGUUAAAUUGUUUGUGAUGUACUUCUUCACUGAUUUCAUAACAGUUGGUUAAAUAAUUGCCAGUUUGCGGUGGGAUAGAAGGAAUUGGUGUAUCAUGUAUUUUACUAUAAUACAUGAUUGCACUUGCUUCACUAAUUGAUGUUAUUCACAUUUCUGUUGUUUAAAACAUGAAUUUACCAUCCAAGCUUGAAAAAUUGUGGAUGGUUCUGCAAUUUUUAUUACUGAUGUCGGUGCAGAAGACUGCCUGUGUGAGUUCUAUUAUUCUUCGUGUAACUUCUGCAACCAAAAAUAAAGAAUCAACAGUAAGUAAAAUAAAAACUAUUUGACGAGUGAUAAUUCCUCAAUAAUUACUUUGAAACAAGACAAAUAGUUGUGUAUACAACUCCCAUGUCUAUCUAGUUUAUUAGCACAAUUUUCAUGGAAGGUGAUUUUGCUUAAUACAUGCCAAUAUCACAUGUUUAUAACUGAUCUUCUUUCCCUUGUUGGUUAAUAAAUGAAGUUGCUUUUCUGGUUUUGUGUAAUUAUCACUGAUUGUUAUCAUCAUGUGUGUGCAGAUUAAGGAUAUUGCUUUGAAAGUAUCGGGUAGUAAGCAAGGCAAGCCGAGCAUAAGCCCAGGUGGUUUCAGAAAAGGCAGACCAUAUCCAGAUUUCGACACAAUUUCAGAGGGAGUGCCCUACCCUUUUAUGCAACCAGGAAGCUCAAAUUCCACUCCAGCUUGGGAUUUUACAAGAACUGGCCCUCAAUCUGCUGGCCGACAUGACUCAAGAUUCACCGGGGCAUUUGGUGGUGACAGGACUCCUGGCGGACAAGAGUCUAUCUCACAGUCUGGUGAUGUGGUGCUGGAAGAUGAGGAUGAACCAAAAGAAUGGAUGGCACAGGUGGAACCUGGAGUUCAAAUUACUUUUGUUUCACUCCCGAAUGGUGGAAAUGAUCUAAAGAGAAUACGCUUUAGGUAAUUCAAAGAUACUUUCUGUUUCUUUACGUCGAUUGCUUUAAUAUUUCACCUCCUGUGUGAAUAUCUUAAAUGCAAUGCCCAAUUCAUUCUUGCAUUUCCAAAAUAUCUUUCACAAAUUGGGGCUGGAAAACAUGGAUUACUACCAAAACAUCACUGUAAUGAAUCUUUCAAGGUGUUGUCACAGUCCCUUUGAACAAGUCUGGUCCUUUCUUGAGGCUUGACUUGAAUUCACCGAACUCCCUGUGUGGUGUGGACCUCAUGUAAUGAAGUCCAAUCUUUAAGGUCCAACCUGGAGACAUUCAUUACAUUGAUAUGUAAAGUAGACCCACCAAUACUUGAGCCAUUCCUAAUUCACAUGCAUACAUUAUUUUUGGUCCUUGGGAAAGGCUGGUCUGACUAAUCAUGCUGCAUGAAUGAGUCCAUGUCAAGUGGUUUCUAACAUGAUAUGAGAAAACCUGGCCCUAUAGGAUGCCAGAUGGUUCUCAAAUUUCAAUCCUUCGCACCUUACUUCAAAUUGACGUUAGUGAUAGAUCAUGCUCAUCUUAUUGCGACAUUUUGAUUUGAAGUCGUGAGAUGUUCAACAAAUGGCAAGCACAAAGGUGGUGGGGUGAAAAUUAUGAUCGAAUCAUGGAACUGUAUAACGUCCAAAGAUUCAACCGGCAAGCUCUUAACACACCCUCAAGAUCAGAAGAUGGGGUAAUUCACCUUCUUUUACAUCUCUUAAAUUGCCAACUUUCAUACUUGUCAUUUUCUUUUCAAACAUGUUUGUAUCUGUUAACUGAUGUUUGGCCUGGCAAGAACGAUAUAUUAGCUCCGUCAGGACUGAAAUGUCGGCAACUAUCGUGAAAUCCUGAGAUGGUAGUAGUGCCCACAAUAAAAAAAAAAACUUUUGUUUUCAUUCAAGCUGCACCAUUUCUGUGCUUGUCUGUGUAUUUACACCUUUAAGCUGAUCAGCUUAGAAGAACUCUGGUUUUUCUCUUGGAGUAUCAAUUUAUUCUUGACAAUAUCAAUUAAUGGACCAUUUGACUGGGCAAACGAAUCUGUUGAAAGACAAAACUUAGGUUUAAGUUACACCAGUUGUGCAGAACUUAGUUUCUCUCGCUGGCUUUUUGUCUCUGAAAGGUACAUUAUAAAUUAAGUGCCUUUUUUUAACUUGUCCAACUUUUACGCAACUUUUUGACUGUCCUCAGCAUGGUUGAGCCAUUCUUUUGUAUAAACUACUUGGAUGGAUCCAUUAGUGGACUAUAUUGUCAGUUUCUGGAACUUAAGAAUGAAUGUUCUAAACAACAAUAUGAACCAAAAGUGUAUUAAUCUUUUAAGUUUUGCAUUUCUGGGAAUGCUUGUACCUAUGGAAAACGGUGUCUUCAUUAGACACGAGCAAAUGCACUAAUUUACUCGUAAAUAGUAAAUACCAGUUUAAGUUGCACAUGACAACUGAAAACUCAGAUCCUCUUGCAUAACAAUCCCAUGCCAAAUAUCUCAAAAGUGAUGGACGCUUCUCUCUUCUGAUGCAGAGGGAUUCUUCUUACUCGAGGCUUGGAUCAGCUAGGGAAAGCCCAAUGAUGACUCCAUCUGUUAACAAAGAAUGGACCCCAAGAAGUUACUAUAGACCUCCUGGAAACAAGGGUUAUUUCCCCUCUGAUCCUUCAGACCAAGGCAGCAGCCAACAUUAUAUGGCUGGAUCAAGUGCUUAUGCACCAGGUGGCCCAAGGGGUGAGAUGUCAUCAAUGGAUCCAUCUAGAACGACAACCUCCUCCAGGGACGAGGCUUCAGCCUCAAUAAGCAAUGCCAGUGACAUCGAGUCUGAGUGGGUGGAGCAAGAUGAACCAGGGGUAUAUAUUACUAUCAGACAAUUGGCAGAUGGAACCAGGGAGCUAAGGCGUGUAAGAUUCAGGUAAUCAAAUCAUCUGACUAUCUGCCUACAAUUGGCUAGAAAUUUUGAGUAAAUGCUAAAGAAAAACCAAGACUAGUUUAACAAUAUAAGAUUCUUGUCAGCAGCUUAUCAGGAGAUAAUAUUGUAUAGUGAUUGUCUUCUUCUAAAAUAUUGGCCCCCUCUUGACUGAAUUAAGUAGGAUGGUACUUGAAACGAGUUCAAGCUAGGAUUUAUGUACAGCGCCCUAACUUCAGGUUAUUCGUGUUUGCUUUUGUUCCUUCUUUCCAUUUGUUGUUGCCUGGAUCUUCAGGUCUGAACUAUUUGACAAAAUGUCCCUUGAUAGCAAUUUUUUCUGUGCUCUCUCUUUGCCAAAUGGAUUUGAAUAACUGCAGUGUCAAGCUCAAUAGAUGAUGCGUUAAUUAUUUCUGUAGGAAGAUAGUUUUUUGGUCACUAGUUGAGAAUUGCUUGAUCAUUAAUGCUAAAGGUUAGAUAUGUUUGUAAAUCGUCUCUCAUUUCCUUGUUCAAUUUUCUACAGCCGUGAGAAGUUCGGGGAAGUACAUGCAAAGCUCUGGUGGGAAUCCAACAGGGAUAGAAUACAAACUCAAUACCUCUAAAGGAAGUAGGCUUCUGGAUGGAGUUUACUGGGGAAAGCGAGUACUAACUAAGUUGCCUGAAAUUUGAAAAGAAAACAUUCCAAUAUUUUAGGCCGAUAUUCUGCCAACAAGCAUCUGGAAAUACCACCCCACCUGCCAGCCAAACUACAGUCAAGAUAGAAUGAUCAAAGAGGCUCAGUCCUGGUAAUGGGACAAUCAGACUCUUCUCAGAAUGUAGUAUUGCUUACUUGAAAUGGCUCCACCCCAUGGACAAAUGCUGUAAGCUAGCUUGGCAUGCCAUUUUUGUUACUAUUUAGUUAUCAGUGCCUACACCCUGAUCUCAAAUUCUUUCGAGCCUCGUCUUCCCUUAAAUUUUUUACCUUUUUAACAGCUCUGUUGUGGGGAUUAUUUGGCUCUUGACAAAAUUCCAUGCUUUUGCUCUGUAAGUCAGCUUUCUAGCAUGACAAGAGAAGUUGAAUCAAAAGCAUGUAAUGCUAGAACAUGCAUGCUGUUCAUAGUUCUUGUUUCAUUCUUGAUUAAUUUCUGACAUGAAAAAUCCUUCAAGUUCUGUGUUUGAUGCCCAUUUGUUUGCAUAUUUUUCAAGCAUAGCAUGCCAGGAUUAAAUUCCAGGAUUCAACAAGAUCGUGGGAAACCUCAGGAACUCUUGGAGCUAAUUGUUGUCACAAAGCUAUAUCACAUUAUCCAAAACCCCAGAUGCCACUCUGCUUCCCAUUCUACAAAAAUUAAACUAUUCACCUAACAUAUGAUAUUAACAGGUCAUUUUACCAAAUAAAAGUCACAAGCAUCUUGGGUUUGGGCUCUUAAUUGCAUUUUAUUACUAAAUUGAGCAGAUAAUUUCGAAAAUUUUCAAGUGACUCUUCAACCAACAACUCAACAAUAGUUUUUCAGAAGUGUAACUUGGAAUUUGGUUGAAUGCUUAUCUUUCUUUAUAUAGGCAUAGUACCAUUCUUAGUUGAUCUGCCAUAAAUGCUGUGGAGAUAUAACUAAAGUCUUCUCAAUCCUAAAGCUCAGAUGGCAACAUGUUUUCAGUGCUUCUUCAAGAUCCUGACUUCCACAUCUUUACAUCUUUUCUCCAAAGCUCAUUCCACAUCUCAGGUGGUUUUGAUAUCUCUUGCUCCAAAAGUAUCUGUCUAUAUGAACUUAAUGAAAAAUGUUCCAAGACAAUGCAACAUAACUGUUGCGACUUUAGAACGAUAACAAUAGAGCAUCCAAUCCAGAAGAGCUGAAUAACAUAGGGAUGUUUUUGGGAAUUAUUAAUAUCAUGCCCAAAAAAAAAACACACACACACAUUUACAUUUCAGGUCAAGGGUAGUGGACCAUCUCUCAUUGCCAAAUUAAGAAAAGUUCUAGAUUGCAUCAAGUUUCUCAGCAUUGCCUUCAAUAUGAAGAACCAUAAGACUGUCAAUUCUGAUAUAACGUACUACAGGAGGGGAAUGCAGUGGCCUCUGCAUUCAAAUCGAUCGAUCUUUGGAACAUCAAACACGAACUGUUUUAACAUUCUGUUUAAGUUCAACUAUGUGGUUUUGAGCAAGGGACAACAAAUUUGGAGUCCAUGCAAAUCAUAGCAAUGACUGAUCUUCAAAUGUUCAAAUAUGGAAACUUUGAUUUGGCGUAUUGUCAACUUGAUAUUCUGCAUCUGGCCAGCACAAGAACAGAAAAUUCCUCUAGGUUCUCGAUGCUGUUUACCGUUACCUUAUUCAAGAAGUUUGAGAUUGAUCUCGUGCGAUAUUAGCAUCAGAUCAUUGUGUCAGCCGUCAGGGACACGUCUGCAAUGGGCUUUAGAUUCAAGAAUCAGACGAGGCAUGCAGAGAUCAAGCCUUUAUUUUUCAGCCUUUUGCCCCUGCACACUUCGAUACUAAUCUAAUUUGGGAUGCUCUUUUGGGUGUUGGAAACGAAAGCAAAUGCAGCACGAUGGGUUCUGGCAAUUUUGAUGUGCCAUGUUCAAGGGCUUGUCCUCUUUCCAUGGAUGUACAAUAAAGCUCCGAAAGCAGAUUAACGCAAUUUCUGGAGGACGGAAAUUGGGAGUGAGUUCUCAGUGGGCAGAAUUUCAACUCUCUCUCUCUCUUAUUACCUUUUCACUUCAACAUAGAGCUGCAUAUGCUAAAUGACAUGCACAUUCACAGAGAGAGAAGGAAAAGCGACGAGAUUUGUUACUUAACAAUAAGCUCACAAUUGUACAAUCAAUAACCCAUCAAUAAAGGAACAGUAAUAUAUUUCUUUAUUCCAAGGUUUUGACAGAAUGCAACCAGCAGAGAAUGAACACACUGUACCUCAGAGGACCAAACGGCAACAAGAACUAAACACAGGACGGCAUUACAAAACCAGUACUGCAGUCAUAAUAGUUUUGUACCAUGUUCAUCAAACGGACGGUUGACUCUUUAUUUCAGCCCCCAAAUAAGACAAGACUUAAA
RNAcentral lists this long non-coding RNA (61888 nucleotides) under Coffea arabica (coffee). RNAcentral describes it as "long non-coding RNA (CARA_LNC005867)". The record is from RNAcentral. Lineage: Eukaryota; Viridiplantae; Streptophyta; Magnoliopsida; Gentianales; Rubiaceae.